RNAcentral lists this long non-coding RNA (65964 nucleotides) under Nicotiana benthamiana. RNAcentral's name for it is "long non-coding RNA (NBEN_LNC034944)". Lineage: Eukaryota; Viridiplantae; Streptophyta; Magnoliopsida; Solanales; Solanaceae. The record is from RNAcentral.
AUAAAAACAACCAAAAAAGAUAUGACCCUUUUAUUAUAAAAAAACUAGAGAUCAAAUCUCAUAUCAUCUUAAUCAAACCAUAGCAAACUGAACCCUGGACAAGAUAACAAACAUAGCUUAAAAAACUAUGGAGUAUCCACACACCACGUAGACCUAGGCAUAUGCUAAAAAUAACAUAUGCCCUCACCGUAACCAUAAUAAUAUAGUAGUAAUAAUAGUAGUAAAUAAAAUACUAAGGAACAGAAUAAACUCAACCAACUUUAAUAAGACCCCCAUCAUUCAUCAACCCCAUCUUCACUAAAAUUCCUCAGAAAGUUUCCGGUAUAAUUUACUCUUCAGCUUUCUCCACUGGAACUGCUUUCUCUUCAACAGAUUCUGCUGCUGCUACUGGUUCCUCAGCUGGUGCAUUUAUAGUUUCCUCAGCCACUGCUUCUUCAGUUACUGGAGCUGAUUCCUCUGCUACUGGGACAGCUUUCUCUGUUUCUGGUUCCUCAACAGGGGCUGCUUCGAGUUCAACCUCGUCGACUGGGGCUGCUACCUCUUCAACAGGACCCACAGUUGAUGGCUCUUGUGUUUCUGUGGUUGCAGGUUCUGCUGCAGCCACGGGUUCUUCAGCAGCAGGGGUUGCUUCCUCAGCGGGAGCAGGCUCUUCUACUGGUGCUGCUGCUGAUUCGACGACGGAUUCGCUUUCUGCUACUGGGGUUGGUUCCUCUACUAUGGUUGCCUCUGGGGUUGUUUGAACCUGAACCUCAGCUGGAGUAGUCUCUACUGCUGCUACUGGUGCAGAUUCAACCUUCAAACAAAAUUUGAAAUUUCAAUUCACAAGAAAAGAUCUAUAUAAGCGAUAACAAUUAGUUGGGAAUAUUGUUACCGUCAUGUUAGUAUGUUUACUUUAGUUCCUACAUAUACUAGGUAUCUUUAUAUCCUAUCACUAAGUUAUAUGCCAGUAACAAAUAUAGAGAACUUAAAUGGAGCGACAUGGUCAGUAAAGAUUCAAUUCAUAUAGCUGAUAUUGCUUGGGCUUUGGGGUUGACGUAUUGUAAUAAUUAUGUUGUUUUGAAUUCUUGAUAUCAAACUAUGGUCAUAAAAAAGCUCUGAUCACUGACCUUCUCAAGAUAUUUCAUUAUGAAACCUUUAUCCAAGAAUGAUCUAAUAAUAUUUUCAAGAUAUAAAGAGUAUUGAUCAACCAUUAGAUUUUAUUCACUUCAUCAGAUUGUCUAAAAUAUAAAUCUUGAAAAGCUUAAAAAGCACUGAUCAGUUGAAGAACAGGCUAACUAACUGAUUUUGAUCAGUUUUAAGUUUUCAUUUAGAAAGAAAAGAUGAAAAGAAUUGACAAAAAAAAAACAUUGGUAUAAAAGUACCUCAACGCUAGCCAUUGGAAAUUGAAGAACUAAGAAAAUGGGAAGGAGGAAAAAAGAAUGAAAUGGAGGGGGUCUUAGGAAGCAAAGGUGGCCAAAGUGUUUUAAAUUGUGAUUGAUGAUGAAAAAGGAUCAAAUAAGAGAGCUAUUUAUAGGGAAGUAAAAUCGACUGUAUUAAUUAAAAUAAUGAAAGAAAAGAAUCUUAAAGGAUAUACAAAUUGACAUCUCAUAACAGUGACUUUAAUGAGUGUCCAAAAAUUCAAAUGCCUAGUUGUAAAUAUAUUUAAUUUACUUUAUGCUUACAAAAAAUUAAUAUUAAAACAGUAACAACUGCAUAUCCCAAAUAUCAAACAAGUCUGAGGUUGGUUGUAUAAAUUCUAUGCUUCAUGUCAUAUCACAAAUAUAUUUUGCAUUGUAAAGAAUCAUUAUAAAUUAGUUAAUUUUAUGUUGAUUGGCGAUCUGCUACUGUAAUUUUUCUCUUUUAUUCAGGUAAUUAAGUUUGGUAAAUAAUAUGAAUAAGUUAACAUAAAUAAUAAUUAUGCGUCAAUUUCAGAUAAAUUGGGGUCGACUUUAUUAUGAAUGGACAAGUUUUACAUUGAUUUCUAACCUAUCACAAAUUUUCUCAUUUAAUCAAGUUUGAAAUUGACAAUACAAGCAAGCUUACACGGACCGUAUGAACUUUUCCAACACAACCUUUUUACUUUUUCCUAAUUGAUUUUCAAGAUGAGGGGCUUUUUCUUAGGUAAGAUUAUUUAUUAAUUCAUUUAUUAAUUUGUCUAAAGGCAUUUGUUUGAUUAGGAAAUGGCAAAGUCACAUGGUGGUGGAGGCCAUUUCCUAUAAACAGCUAUUAUAUCUUUUUUCUUGAGUGGUUUCUUCUGUGUUUUGUGCAGUAGGGCACGUAGGUGACUAAGACUAUCAUGCUUUCAUGUUCUAAUAAUUUUUAAAAAUAAUUUUUUUCUUUUUCUGUUCCACCUUUUUCUUUUAAUUAUUUUUUUCUCAAUUCUAGAUCUUUACAACAAAAUCUCUUGGUUUAAGGGAAUGAAUCUAAUUGCUAGUAAUUCAUGCAAAUACUCAUAUAAAAACCAACUCAUCCUUCUUUUAAUAAUUUUUAGAUGUAUUUUUUUUUAUUUCUCACCCGAUGUUUGAUAUCAAUAGGGGUCUGAUUAAAUUUGGAUUUGCGCCGAAAAGUUCUACAUUGAGGGAGAGGUAAAGUGAUCUCUAACAAAGGUGGCUCCAUACCUAGGGGCUCGAACCUGAGACCUUUAAUUAAGAAUUAAGCAGUAUGUAUCAGUCCAUCGCAACCCUUAUUGGUUAUAUGUAUUUAUUGGAUCUCGUAAACUAUUGAUUUUAGUAUUACUUUAUCAUACAAAUUACCACCAAGAUUUUGUCACAGUAGUGACAGAGUAAAUACAUCACUAAUUACUAAUUUGAAAAAAAUAGGCAACUUGAUUUUCUUUCUGAUUUGUGGACAAAUGGAAAUGAACGUAAAGGCCAAAAUAAUAGUGAAGGGCCGGUGCCGAAUUGGACCCCACUAUCACAAAAUACGAUCAUAAAAUGUCCAUAUGGGUCCCAUCCACAGCAGAAAUCUGACGUGGCACAUUCUUUUUCGAUCCAAUUCAUCCCAUAUACAUUUGGGUUCUCUCUGAAUGGCCCCUACUUUAAUAUGUUUAUUACGGCCUUGUGGGCCCAGCCUUGAGAUGCUUUCCAGGUACUACACCUCGUGCUUUCUGGGUCCCACUAGCAUGCCCCUCUCUAUUUUGCCACGCUGGAUUUGAGUCAUUCGCCACUCUAUUUUUGCGCUGCGCACUUUUUAAAAUAUUACCGUAUUAAUGUCGGAUUCUUCAGAAAUAUAUUAUUUUUGGAGUAUUCGAUAUAUAUUUGCUAAUAUUUUUGGAAAAUUCAAAAAAUUAUAGAUUAUAACUUUAGUGAAAAUUGUAAUUAAAUGAUAAGUACUUUGUAAUCACUAAAAAAAAGAUAAGUAUUUUGUCAAUCCGAACUGAAAAAAUUAUUUGUAAAAGAACUCAAAAAUUUCAAAAAAGAAAAGUAGUAUCUAAGCAAGAAGUCGGUGAAUUUAUAUUAUGCGUAUAUAUUUGCCUAAGAUCUCCCGUACACCUCUUCUUCGGAAACUUGCAAGCCAAGAAGUUUAUCAAAUUUUUUUGCCUUUGAUCCCUGUCCUCGACCCGCCUUUUGUCAUGGGCAUCACACUAAUUCAAUUAGUAAGUAUUUACUAAAAGAAAAAUUCUUUUAAGUUUAAAUUUUAUUUAUUACUAUAAAAUUAUACGACAAUGUUGUUACCGGAAUGAUGUUAGACAUGCUGAAUCAUUUCUUAAUAGAAAAAGUAGGCAACACUAUUCUUUUUUUCACCAGGGAGGGAAAGUAUGGAAGCACUAUAGAUCUUCCUAAUUUGGGAGAGGUUUUAAAAAAAAAAGAAGUAGGCAGUACUAUUUGAUAUUGUCCUAACUAUGAUUGACGUCGAUACCAGUGUGAAGAGAAUAUAUAUAUAUAUAUANNNNNNNNNNNNNNNNNNNNNNNNNNNNNNNNNNNNNNNNNNNNNNNNNNNNNNNNNNNNNNNNNNNNNNNNNNNNNNNNNNNNNNNNNNNNNNNNNNNNNNNNNNNNNNNNNNNNNNNNNNNNNNNNNNNNNNNNNNNNNNNNNNNNNNNNNNNNNNNNNNNNNNNNNNNNNNNNNNNNNNNNNNNNNNNNNNNNNNNNNNNNNNNNNNNNNNNNNNNNNNNNNNNNNNNNNNNNNNNNNNNNNNNNNNNNNNNNNNNNNNNNNNNNNNNNNNNNNNNNNNNNNNNNNNNNNNNNNNNNNNNNNNNNNNNNNNNNNNNNNNNNNNNNNNNNNNNNNNNNNNNNNNNNNNNNNNUAUAUAUAUAUAUAUAUAUAUAUAUAUAUAUAUAUAUAUAAGUUGUAUUUUCUACUCUUCUAUUUUAAUUUAGAUGACAUAAUUCUCUUAUAGACCAAUAUUUUAAAAUAUAUACUUUCUUAACAUAUUGGUUAAUUUUCUUUUUAUAAAUUAUAGUAUUUCUCGUAUAGUUUAUGAUUAUCUAAAUUUUAAUUUUAAAACAUUAACUUGGAAUUAAUCCAAUUUAGCUUCAAAAUUUAGUCAAAUUGAUUCUGGAUAAGUAGAAUAUGUCAUCUAAAUUGAAAAAGAGGAAGUAAUAAAAAAUAUUAUUUUCAGUUUUUACUUAUUAUUAAGUAUAUUUCUAUCACUAAAAUACUACUUCUAUAUAGUUCUUAGGGGUAUAAGGAAUAAGAUGUGACAAGAUGUGUGAUUAAAUUUUGUACUGUAUUUGGCUGGCAGUAUAAAUUUAUACUUUCGACAAAAUAAAGUAUAAAUUUAAUCCCAAGCUUAAUCCAGAAUAUUUAUCCCACUAAAUAUGAAAUUAUUUUAUCCCGUCUCUUAUAUGAUAUAAGUUAGCCGACAUAAUUUAGUUUGAGUACCACACAAUGCCUUAUUACUAAUAUCGUAACGGUCAACAAACAAGAAAUUUUGGACUGUAGCAUUGAAAAAAAAAAACAAGACAAGAAUCGUCAUCAGUAUAUUAUGAUGGAUUAUUAUAUGCAGAGGAACCAAUUUUAGUAUCAAAAUCACAUGUAAUCUAGAUAACUAGCAUAAGGGGAUUUUAUGAGUUACCUCUUGAAGCGUGAACAAAUCCCCGUUAUCACGUGAGCCUCCAAUUGCACAGCAACUCAGUGAAUUCUCCAUCAUACGCACAAUCACGGUCUUCGAAUGUUUCACGGUAUUCUACUGUGUUACCCAAAUAAUACUCGAAAAUAGUAAUUUUGUGUGAGCGAAAGUUUUAGGAAAAUAUGGCUAAAAAUUUAAGCCACCAUGUACUACAGCCUUUAGGUGGAAAACUUUAUGUAUCUAUAGCACAAGUUUUAAUGGUUAAAACCCUUUUCCAAAACCUGAUUGGUUUUCCUUUCCACCAGGAAAUGGAUUCCUUUAUUUCAUAUUAAUUAGGCACAGCAUGGACCACAAAAUUAAUUAGCAAGGCUCCAAUUAUGGAAUUAAUUUUUAAUUUUUGAAAUUAAUAUCCACUAUAUUAAAUACGAGUUAUUCCACUAACAAUUCGUAAUUGCACUCCUUAUUCAAUUUCAAAAUUUAUCAAUUAAAUCUUAUUUAAUUCCUCAUGUUAAGAUUCAGAUACUAAUAAAUUAAAUUAAAAUACUGACGAUUUAAUUUAUUGAUUAUUUUCUUUAGACUUUUGCUUAACUUAUUUCAUGUGUCGGAUAUAAAAUCCACCGGCUGAGUUUACACAUGAAAACUUAUAAGCUUUCAUAAAGGUGUAUCAUCAAUCUCUGAAUCGAGAUAUGGAUUCCAUCAACUAACUAUUACUUCGCCAACGUACAUUAUUGUUAUCCAAUUUACCAGGAAUAUUAACCCACGAAAGAAUCUAGCCUUUUAAUAAAUCAAUACAAUAAUAAUAUAUACAACUAAUAAUGAUUAUAUCAAGAUUAAAAGUAUAAGUACAUCUAAUGGCUAGAGAGUUUAUUUUAUUAAGUCGGUAUAAAAUACUUAUCUCUACAUGGUCUGUUCAAUACAUACAAAAUGUACUAGCACAAGAAGUUGGAAUUAAAACCAUUCCCAUAAUUAAGAUAAAUUAUAUUUAAUCUUGUGGUACAAUCAUUCCUGAUGGUUUGUCCAAUUCCAUCAUUAGAUUGUGAACUCAAACUUUAUACUUAUAAGAACCGAUGAUAUAAUCUUCCGUGUAUAAGCUAAACUCUAUACACAAAAUCAUCUACUAUAUAAGCAAAGGACACAAACUAUUAUAUGAUUUAUUUAAAAUUUUAUUAAAACUGAAUAAAAUGUAUAAGCUAAACUCUAUACACUACGUCAUCUAUUAUAUAAGAAAGGACACCGACUAAUAUACGAUCUAUUAAAACUUUAUUAAAAUUGAAUGAACAAUAUUAUCAUAAUAAAUAUUAUAUCUAAAUCAAACCCAUGAUUAAUAGCAUAUAUCCCAAUUAUCUCCCACCUAGACUUUUAACCAUGAUAAUUGUCAGAAUAAACUAUAUCCAAACGCAUGGUUAAUAGUAUAUGCCCCAACAAUCUCCCACUUAGACUCAUAAUCAUGCAUCUAUAACUUUCCCUGGCAUUCUUUUACAAGACUAUUAAACAUUUUUACCAAAUAAGGUUUUGUUAAAGAAUCUUGCCAAAUUAUUUUUGAUGCAAUAUUUAUCCAGUAGUGCUUUGUUGUAACCAUCUAGUUUGGUAUUAAACUCUUCAGGGAUCCUGUUACUUGAAACUAUCCUAAAAGUGUACACCGAACUAUAAUUUUCUUUAGUAUUCUUCCACUAUGACAACAAGGUCAUACAUUCAUGUACCACAAGAGAUAAAAUGUUUAUCAAGCUCAAUAACUCAAUAGUUAUUCGAAAAAACAAAAACAAAUAUCCAUCUCUUAUUUUUUCCAAAAUCCAGAAUUAAAUUCCUUCUAACAAAAAGUACAUAUAUUGCAUCCUUUAGAUUAAUGUUAUCGCUAAAAAAUAUUUUAACAAGUAAUACGACAAAUUACAUAAAGUCAUAGUGGAGUUGAGAUAAAAAUAUUAAAUAGAUCAUAAUAAGUUAAAACACCGAAUACUAAAAUUCAGACUGCAUUCAAUAUUUAUAUACAUACAUGCAUCUCGAAUAAUAAAUUUUGAUGGAAAAAGAAUCAUUCAUUCAAAGUAUAUUAUAUAAUGCAAGAAUUAUACAAUCUAAAAUAAAUAGAACCAACUCAGAUGGAUAGUAUACUACUAUUUUCAGUCAAUUAUAUAUAACCUUUUAGUAUAAAAUUUUAAACACACUGCACAUAUAUGUCAUGCAUUUUGAAUAUCAAUUUCGAUGGGAAAAGAAUUACUCAUGCAACAUACAUAUGUAAUGCCAAGUUAUUCACUCCAAUAAUUAAAACAAACCCAACUCAGAUGGAAAGUAUAUUGUUAAUUUAAGUCAAGCGAACAUUAUUUUCAAUAGCUCUAGUUCCAUUGAUCCAACAUGUAUAUUCAGAUGGAGAGUAAGUACACGAUAUCAAUUACUAGUAUUUCACCUAGUGAACUUACAAUGAAUUUAUCCGAUAUGGAGGAAGACCUAAAGUCAAUGCAAAAAUUUAUUAUUCACUUGAAAUUAAUAGUGGAAGACCACAAAAAUAUAUUUCUAUCACACUUAAUCAUGAUUGUAUUUUAAUUAAAAAACUGAUUCAACCCUUAAACUCAGAUGGAGAGUUAAUACAAGUUAUCAAUAACUAGUAACUAUAUCCAAUGAGUUCUUAAUAAAUUUAUCCAAUAUGGAGGAAGACCUAAACGUCAACGCAUAAAUUUAUUAUCUCACUAUAAAUAAAAAAUGGAGAUCAUAGGGAUUAAUUUCUAUUACCACUUUAUCAAAACCACGGACUUUUCUCUGAGGUUCCAUAAUUAAAAAAAGGAAAAAAGGUCAGAACUGCCCCUAACGUAUUGACUCCAGGUUAAAAAUGCCUUCCGUUAACCUAUUUUGACUUGACAAUUACUUAAACGGAAAUGGGUCAGAACUGCCUCUAACGUAUUGAUGUCAAUUGAAAAAUAUCCUUCGUUAAUCUAUUUUGAAAAAAAAUACCCCUACCGUCAAAAUUCUGACAUAUUUAUGCCCAUAAUCUAACAAGUUAGUUUAAAAAAUACCCUCCGUUAAUCUAUUUUGAAAAAAAUGUCCCUACCGUUUUAAAUAUAAGUACAGUCAGUUGUUAGACUUCGGGGAACAAAUAUGCCAGAAUUUUAACGGUAGGGGCAUUUUUUUAAAAUAGGUUAACGGAGGGCAUUUUUAAAUUGGAGUCAAUACGUUAGGGGCAGUUCUGACCCUUUUCCCUUAAAAGUAUUAAGCUGAGGAGAACCAAAUUUUUUUUCCAGUUUUUCUUUUUCUUUUUCCAAUUUUAUUCUGACCCUUUUCCGUUAAAAAAAUGCUCAAAUCCCCAUUUAAGCAGUCUUAAAAUGCUAAAAUUAACGUAUUCUACUGUAUAGUAGUGAGUACUGUUCACUAGGUUAUUUCUGGUAAGUUUACCAAAUUUCACAUUAAUCGAAUAUCGUUAAAAUCACAAUCUCCAAAAAUUGCGACCAAAUUUGAAAAUUUACCCUUUUAAGCAUUUUUUAAGAAUUUAAAAUAUGACCUACGUUCGUAUCAUAUACCAAUUUACUCAAAUUGAAAUGUGUUAUCAUGUUCCAGAUAUGACACAAAAAAUGAUAGAAAGAACGGUUUUUUGUAUAUAAAUCACAUUUUAAUCCGCUAAAUCAUCAAAAAUCUCAUCUAAAUGAUCUCGAAUCGUCAAAAUACGAUGCGAUUCAUUGCAUAGUAGUGAGUUCUUCUUAAAUGAUCAUUUCCACUGAUCCUGCCGAAUUCAUGUCAUUUGGAGAUCGUGAAAUCCACGAUCACCAAAACUAGACUAAAUUCGAAUAUUAUCUUUCCGUAUUUAGGAUUAAAUCCAUGUAAUUUGCAUUCUUAUUAUAUAUCAUAUCAAGUUAAACCAUCAUGUUUCAGAUUUAACACAAAUAUAGCCGAUAUAUAAAGAAUACUUUUUCAUAUUUAUAACAAAUUCAAUUUAAUAAACUAUUUGAAAACCCAUCUAAACGACCUCGAAAUGCCAAAAAAUAACAUGAUUUACUGCAUAGCAGUGAGUUUUUAUCACUAGAUCGUUUUCGAUGAACCUACCAAGUUUUAGGUCAAUUGGAGUUCGUCAAAUUAAUGACCUGCCUGUAAUCAAACUCGGAGAAUAACCAUUUUAAGCAGUUUAAUGAAUUAAAAUAAAUAUGAUAUUGAUUUCCAUUGAGCAUAUAAUUAUACUAUAAGCUCAAUGCAUAUAUUAUAUUCUUCAUAUUUCUUGGAUACACAAUAUUUCCUUCUACAAUGAAUUAUCCUUUUAUUAAAUACACAAGAACCUACGAUAUUAUAUUUUCUCCCGUUUGGCGAAAAACCCUAAUAUCUCUUCUCAUGGGUAGAGUUGAUCUCGCUAGUACCAAAAGAUAAUACACUUUUCCUAGUUAGGAACCUCCACCACUAAUAUAGAUUUAUCAAGGAUAAUUUUCACAUGGUACAUUAAGCAGAUUUUCAUGAUCAAAUAAAUAGAUCAUUUAGUGGAUCCAACUUAUUAAUCAUAAUGCACAAUCCAUGAAUAAACACAAUUUCAUAUGUACAAACUUAUUAAAAAAAUGCAUGAGUUCAAAUAAGCAAAGUAUUUUAGUGGUAACUAUUUAUUACUCACAAAAUUAUCAAUUUAUAAGUGAAGAUACAUAUAGAUUGUGAGCAUGUGAUUUUUACCUGGUAUGAAUUACUCCUACAGAACUCCCAAAAAUUAAGAUUUUUCUUUUAAUUAUUUUUUUUGGAAUCACUGUAUGAUUUUUGUGCUUGUUUGCAUUUUUGCGUGCAUAUUUAAUUUAGGCAAUUCAUGAAAAAAUAAAAAAAUACAUUGCAUUUGCAUUUGAGAUCUAAUUUUUUAUUUUUUAGGAUAAUUAGUUAUUUAAUGUUACAAAAAUAAAAAAAUAACAAAUAGCUCUUUUGCAUUUUUUACUAUUUAAAAAUUUAAAUUUAUUAGAGUUUUCCUUAAUUUAGGACUUAAUUGAUUUUUGAGAAGCAAUUCUUUAUUAAUUUAAUUUUUGGGUUUAAAUUGGAUUUUUAUAUUCUUAUUUGUAAUUAGCAAAAUUUGAAAAUGAAAAAAAGAGAAAAAAAGAAAGGGUUUGUUAAUAAAAAGUAAUUUGAGCCAAUUCAACUUAACCCCAAGCCUAAAUCAUUUCUUCUCCUAAAACACACCCAAAUUACCCCUGAUCCAGUCCACUUCCACCCUAGUCCCAAACGACCAAAUUUGAUCUUAGCCGUCGAGGUAAGGAGAUCAGACGGCUGAGAAGUGAGGUCCCUUCAGUAUAAAACUGUCCAAACAUACCCACCCCCUCAUCUGCUCAUCUCCCUCACCUUCUCCGACUCCCUAUAAUCGCCACUAGCCACCGCCAGAAAUUGCCCCACGGUGGCGGCAAGUCUCCAAUAGACCUGAAAUUCACACUGCACCUUCUCCUCUCCUACCUCAUGCUCAUACCACACUCUGUUUCCCUCAAAACCUACUAAACCGCGCCAAAUCUUCAAAACCCUAGCACUGCCACAGUUCCUCCGAUGACAGCGCCGCCUCCAACCUACCCCAAACUAAAACUAGAGAACCUCCAAGUCUCCCUCAUCCCAAAUCCCCAUUUAUUUUCCCUCGAAUCCCUAUCAGUUGGCUCGAAUUUUAAAUUAGAGGUCGAAGCCCUAAUUCCUCUAACUCAAAAUUCAACGGGCCUGUGAGGAUUUUAGAUUGUGUUGGACCUUAGUCUUGUGUUUUCAGAUAAAAAACACAAGAUUAAGGUCCAUCUCCGCCAUAAAUUAAUGAUUUCAUCGAAAUUUUAACUCAAAUUGUGGUCCGCCUAGUUUUGAUAAUCACUCAGGUACUUCAUCCUUUUCAUUGUUCUUGUCUUCUUAUAUCUUUCUUCUUUUGUCAUUCUAUUUUUCUCAAUAUGUUUUGCAUGUAUUUCUGUUAAUUUAGUCAAGUGUUAAUUGCUUUUUCUCUGGUUUAUUUGAUUUUAUUAGAUUAGUUUAACUUUUUUAUUUCUUUUAAUUUCAAGUCUGGGCCAUAAUUGAAUCUUUAGUUCAUAUUUUGAAUGGCUUCUUUUUUUCUGCCUCAUCAUUUUGUGAAAUCGUGGAAUCAGACCUGGGCGCAAAGAAAAGAAUUAGCCCAGGUCUUGUUUGAAUUAAACUAUUUGUUUUGAGUCGGGUUAUUUGGACCCAUGUUGGACUGGUCCGAAUAUUGGGUCAGCUUGACCCAUGAAUUUCAAGAUAAAACAGGGUUAAUUAGGGGUAAAUUGGGUAGAUCACCUAAAGAAUCUUUCAGUAACAACCUUAAGAAGCUUCUAGAAAGUUGAAAACAGCCUAGCUUGACUAACAAGUCAGAAAAUGAGGGACUUCUAAGAAAAAUUAAAAAUUAAAAAUUAAAAGGAGCUAAAAUGCAAAGCUGAAAUCUCUUGUUUAUCCUACUUUCCUUGCCUAUAACGGCAUCUUUUAUUGCCUUUCAGGGCAGACCUAAGUGAUAGAAAAGUCUGAAAAUUAAAACAACAAAAAAUUGAUAAGAAAGCUACUGUUCUAUUGAAAUUUUCUUUGAUUUUUCUUAGUUUUCAAUUGUUGAAAGUCUUUGGAAUUGGUGUUACUUGGUUUUAAUUCUCUGAAUCACUCUGCUGGUUUAAAACUUCUGGAAACUUUUGAAAAACUGAGAUCUGGUGAUAAAAAUGAGUUUGAGCUUGGGUAUCGAAAGAGCUUGGUUUGAUUUUGUAGGUUGGUUCUGUUGAGUUUCUUUUGUCUGUGGCAAUCCGAUUAUUUCAUUGUUGAGUUUGUUGAAUCCGGGGUUUUUUGUUGCUGCUCUUCUAAUUUUACUCAUAUUUUGCUUUUUGAAGGUAUUCAUCUCACUUUCUAAUGUAUGAGAAAGGAUGAACAUGAAGUUUGGUUUACUCAAGUCGAGAUUUGUAAUAAUACAGUUGUUUGUUUGAUGUUUCUGCUUUUUCGAAGUCAUCUUAUUUAUUUUAGUUUCCUUAUGUCUCCUACGAUUCUGUUUUGAAUAUGAAAUGAUGUAGUAGUACUAACUUGUUAGUUCAUUAUGCUGAUUACUAAAUGUGUAUGGAAGGUCAUGAUAAAUCCGGGGUAAGAUCUGGAAGUUGUAUGUGCUCACAAGGUUGGAUAGCUAUUUUAUUGUUGAUCAAUGUGUAGAAAUACUCCUAUAUUCAUUACUGUUGAGAGGAGCACAAUUAAAAUUAAUUGGUCAAGUAGCAGUUAGCAUAGAAUCCACGAUAAAAAGGGGAAGCAUGACUAUAUAAUUACUGUAUUUCAGUGAUGUUUCAAUGUCUAAUAUGUGAACGAUCAUCAUAUGAAUGUGGUAGGUUAUUAUAAGUAUGAAAGUUGAACUUUUUAUCUCCUUGAUUUGGAUGUAAAGGUUCAGCAAUGAGCAUGUGCAUUUAAUCUUCAAGUUCCUGUAGAUGCCCAUUUAUAGUAUUUUAUUAAUUAGUGCAUGAAGUUGUUGCAACCUAAAAUGAAUUUUGAAUGAUUGUCUAUUUAGUUCCAAUCAAUUCAAUUGUUGAGAUUGUUCAUGAUUUUGUGGUGCUUGAAUGCUCUUGUCAUUAUGUUUUUCCAAAUUUAAACAACAUUCUGCUGUUGCCCGGAUCCGAAGACGUGACCUCUUUGAUAUUCAAUUUGGGUAAUGCCUCAUGGAACUUUUGGGCUCUUCGUUGAGUCCAGAUAGGGUCACCUAUGGAACCCGUUACUUGGCAUCCUUGUGAUGUUGUUUGAGCUAUUGGGCUUCACCCUAGGUCAGGCCCCAGUUUUGAAAACUAAAGAUGGACUGGACCUUACUUCUUUUUAAUUUGGACCUAUGUUCAAGCUCAGUUGAGAUUCUAAAGUAGGUGAGAUUCUUUUAAGCGUUAUUUCAUUGAUAGAUCCUGGGCUAGUUGAGGUGUGCCACUAAAAACCAAUAAUGAUAUAUGGCUCUCAUGAAUUAGAAUAGAAACCCUUAAGCUAAAAUAAUUCGAGGCGCGCCGUGCCAAUCGAAAAUAACAAAUGCUUGACGCUCGCUUAAUUAAUUUUGAUUUAAUUCUUAGAACUCAAGGCGUGCCAUUUAGCGAAUUUUUAUGGCCCUCGCAAAAGUUUCUAGCGCGUAGUUGCUUUAGAAGCGUUACUUUAAUAACUUACCUUCCUAAACUCGGGUGCGCAUUUAUGUGACCCAAAUCCAUAUCUCAACGUUAAAUAAAAUGUGUUGCAAACUGCGGGUGCAUUUAUGUGACGUGGUUUAAGACAUAUUUUAAAUGACAUUGUAAUUUUCCUUAAAAAUAAUUAAAUAAAGCUGUUAAAAAUUAAAAUUGCACAUAGGUUCAAUAAUAUUUUAAAUCAGAUAAAUAGGCCAAUAAUAGCAGUUGAGCGACCGUGCUAGAAUCACAGAACUCGGGAAUACCUAACACCUUCUCCCGGAUUAUUAGAAUUCCUUACCCGAAUUUCUGGUUCGCGGACUACAAUACAGAGUCAACCUUUUCCUCGAUUCGAAAUUUGAACCGGUGACUUGGGACACCAUUAAACUAUCCCGAGUGGCGACUGUGAAUUUUAAUAAAUAAAUCCUGUUUUGGUUGAUUCUUUAAUUUGAAAAAAAAUCUCCUUUCUAUGCCCUUCACUGGGUUUAGUAAAAAAAGGAGGUGUGACAACUCUGGUGACUCUGUUGGGGAUCGAACCCAGAAUCUCUAAUUUCGCAAUUCAAGAAUUCGAGCUUAGAAUAAUUGUUAUAUUUGGCUCUAUUUAUUGUCUGAUUUUAUUACAUGUUUGGGCCUAAUGUUCUAAAUGUUUCUUUUACCGCUUUGAUAUCAUCUGAACUAUAUAUAGAUUGCUAUGAAACCCCUCUCUUCUCUCUCUUGAGGAGUGCAUGCUGGUCGUGACUUAUUUCUGUUAGUGUCAUAUUCCCAAAUAGAAUGAGGUUCGGGCAAGUUGCAAAGCCAGAUGAUCUUUUGGUUACUGGUACGCAACCCCCUCCCCCCUCCCCCUUAGUGGAUCCAACUUAUUAAUCAUAAUGCACAAUCCAUGAAUAAACACAAUUUCAUAUGUACAAACUUAUUAAAAAAAUGCAUGAGUUCAAAUAAGCAAAGUAUUUUAGUGGUAACUAUUUAUUACUCACAAAAUUAUCAAUUUAUAAGUGAAGAUACAUAUAGAUUGUGAGCAUGUGAUUUUUACCUGGUAUGAAUUACUCCUACAGAACUCCCAAAAAUUAAGAUUUUUCUUUUAAUUAUUUUUUUUGGAAUCACUGUAUGAUUUUUGUGCUUGUUUGCAUUUUUGCGUGCAUAUUUAAUUUAGGCAAUUCAUGAAAAAAUAAAAAAAUACAUUGCAUUUGCAUUUGAGAUCUAAUUUUUUAUUUUUUAGGAUAAUUAGUUAUUUAAUGUUACAAAAAUAAAAAAAUAACAAAUAGCUCUUUUGCAUUUUUUACUAUUUAAAAAUUUAAAUUUAUUAGAGUUUUCCUUAAUUUAGGACUUAAUUGAUUUUUGAGAAGCAAUUCUUUAUUAAUUUAAUUUUUGGGUUUAAAUUGGAUUUUUAUAUUCUUAUUUGUCUAGAACAAAUAAAGUCAGGUUUUAAACCUACUGUAGCAAGACCUUAUGCCAGAUACCUAGUAGGAACGUUUGUCUGCAUGAUGUGCAUUUUGACUUUGCAGACUCGAUACAGGGGCCGGGUCUGUCUAGGACAGGUGUACCCGAAAUAAAAAGACCAUCCUGAUGCAUCUUACUUGCUACUUGUGCAUUUAUUUCCUUCGGAUUUACAUGCUAACCGGAUUUUGAAUAAAAUGAGAGAGUUUUGAAAAGAAAAUAGCAAUGUGAGGGCUAAGGAAGGUAAUUACCUGUUUUGAAAACCAAUAUCCCAAAAUAUACUGAAACUCUGCCGAAAUAUUUUAAAAAAGAGAGUUUUUAUUGUUUUCAAGAUGUUUUUUCAAAAUUUCCCGAACUGCGCCAGUUUGAUUCUCACCAGAUGUGGGAUACGUAGGCAACCCUCAUCCGGUCCAACUUCCCUUUUUGAAAAAUAGCCUAAAAAGAAAAAAAUUAUUUUUAUUUGAAAAUAAUUAAGGUGAUUCCAUUCUCAUAAAAAAUAGCCGAAUGUCCCCAAAAAGGCGUCGAAAGGCUGCUUUUGCAAGAAUAGCCGCCUUUGGUCAUUUUUCAAGGUUUUGGCAAGUUAGCCAUCACAACCUUAAAAUUUUCGUCCUCGAGGUGCUGAAAGGCCGUAUUUGAAAAACCGAAUUUUUAUUUUUAAUUUGAAAAAAAGAGAAACAGUGUUAAAUUUGUUUUUGCAUCAAAUGCAUUUUGAUUUUGCUUAAUCACCCUAAUAAAUGUACAAAAUGAGUACAAGUCCAAGUCAAUACAGUCAGGAACAAGAUCUAUUUGGAGUUACAAAUGUGGUGGGACAAUUUGGGAAAAUCAGAGCAAGAUAAGGUCAAUCUACAUUUUGUGAGGUGUUACCGGGUUUUUAAGGAUCAAACGUAGAGGAGAUGUCAUAAAGGCUUUGGUUACGUUUUGGAAACUGGGCCAUAAUGUAUUUCACUUCUCGGAUUUUGAACUCACCCCAACCUUGGAAGAGAUAGAAGGUUAUAUGGAAAGUACUGAAGGACUGAGGCAUAAGUAUCUGAUCGCUCCAAGAGCCGUUAACUCUCACAAAUUCAUGGAUUUGCUAAAUCUAAUCAAGGGAGUCCCAUACUCCUAGUUGGAGGGUGGUUUUUUUGCUCUACAUUACGGGGGUGUAGGAGGGUUCAACAAUCCGAAAAGUGGGGUUUGUAGCAAAGGGAAGCGAACAAAAUGGGAUGAGCAUAUACGUUUCGCUUUCAUGGUAGCUUUCUUAGGCCUUGUGGUGUUUCCCUAAAAAGAUGGGAAUAUUGAUCUGGGGGUGGUUGGAGCUGUCAAAGUCUUUAUUACUAAUGCCAAGAGCACCAUUGCCCCUAUAAUAGUAUCUGAGAUAUACCGAGCUCUCACAGGUUGUAAAGCUGGGGCAUAUUUCUUCGAGGGAUGCAAUUUGCUAUUACAGAUGUGGAUGAUCGAGCACUUGUGUCAUCACCCUCAGUAAAUGAGAUAUGGAUCCAUAGAGAAAAGUUACAUUGAAAAGUUUGACACAAGGAUUUCAAGGUUCAAGCUACCAGAGGGGUUUAGAGAUUGGGUAUCCCGCCUUCGCUCCAUCACUACGGGACAAAUAGAAUGGACACUUGGUUGGCUUCCUGUUGAAGAAAUUGUGUAUAUGCCCGCCACUGGUCCUUACUUCCUCCUAAUGGGUCUUCUAGGUAUAUAUGCUCCCUACCGGGUGAUGAGACAAUCGAUAAGGUGUCAGAUGCACCCAAACGAAGAUCUUAGUGUUUAUGUGGUCGAGGUUAGCUCCGAUGGCCAAUUUCAUGAAGAAACAAUUCGUUCUAUUUGGAACGAGUGCCAGUAUUUGAUGGUGAACACUCGAGUGCGUGACCCAUCUAGAAGUGAGGUUUCACCACCUAUCUUGCCUGGCAUAGAAAGAAGAACAUUGUAAGGGACGAAUUAGAAAGACCAACCAAAAAGCCUCACAUUCAGGAAUUCGUUGAGGCAUCGUAAGAAUAGUGGGCUUGGUUGGCCAAGGAGAAUGUGUACAGGGCCACGAUAGGAAAGUUGGAAAAACAAGUCAAUGAACUUCAAUUCGAGAAUAGCUUGCAAGCCGCAACAGAUGAAGGAGAAAAGAAAAAAGCUAGCCAAAGGGAAUGAAGCCCUUCGAGCCCAGAUUCAGAAAAUGAAAAUAGCGGCAAAAAAUCCCACUAGAAGUAUAAAAGAUGAGAAGCUCAUAGACAAUCUUAGGUGGAAGGUAGGGGAAUAUGGUUUUGACCUGAACAAAGUAGAGGGUGAACUAGUGAGGGCCCAAAAUCAAUUGGCCAAAAAUGCGAAAGGACGAGUACGCCUGAUUGAUCAAUUGAAAGAAAAGUACAACAACGAGGUUGCGGGAUUGAAGUAAAGGGUCAUCACCGUUGUAACCAAAAUGGUUAAGUAGGCGACGGACUUUAACACUAAAAGAGAGUACUGUUACACAGCCAUAGCACACUAGAAAGAGAUUUGCACCGAUGUCAAGAACUAAAUCAGGUAGCUGAACAAACUUUGGAAGCCAAGGCCCAGCAGAUUGGGCGAUUGUUGCAAGAAAAGGGUGUCACAAGAGAGAGAGAGAGAGAGUCCGAAGGAUCGGUGAUUAAAUCGCAAUAAAGUGCAGUGGUUGUGAAUAUAUGACUAGAUACAUAUUUUUUGCUGCUGCAAUGACCUUCAUCCGCCAGGUAAUGGAAGACCUCCACCAUCUCUAAGGGGAUUUAGCAUGCAGGCUCGUGGCGAGACCGAAUGAUAUCCCGCGGGCCCCAGGAUCAUUAGAGGCACUAAUGUAUUCAUGAUUUUUACUGGAGUCUGUUAGUCAAUUUGUGAAGUCUGUAUUUCUUUUGUUGAAGUCUGUUAGGUACUGUUGUUUUCGGAGUCUGUUGGUCUUGUUCUGAGUUGGAGUCUAUUAAUUUCUCUUCUCGGGUCUGUUAGUUUUAUAAUUUGGUGGUUGUAAUUCAAACUAUUUUACUUUAUGAAAAUUUAAAAUCCCAAAAAAUAUUUUAUUUUAUUUUCUACACUUAUCUUACAGAACUACGCUUGCGGGAUCAUGAUAUAUAAACAAUCUCCAUAGAAUUUGACCAUAACCAAAAGAAAAGGGAAAAGUAAAAAGAAAAUAGCGAAAGAAAAGAGAGGAAAAAUAAGAAACCAUGAGAGGGAAACAAUGGCAAAAUAAAAGAGAAAAAAUACAACAAAGAAAAUCAAGCAAAAACAAGCUAAAUAAAAGGAACAAAAGAGAGAAAAAAAGAAAAACAAAAGAGAAGAAGAAAAGGAGAAGUUGUAUAUGGACAUGGGGAAAAGUCGGGAUGAUGCAAACAGCCGAGCAAAGGCAUAACAGAAACCAAUAACUGCCUAGGUGCAUUCAUCCUUAAAUAUGUGGUUGCCUAUCUGUUAAACCCUGACCCUAACAAGUUUGUUGUUGUCUAUCCAAUUACAGGAACAUGGUUAGUUUUGUGGAAUUAUAGCAACUCACCCCUACAACACCCGCUCCAAUAGUAGGUUAACCAUGGCCAACCAAGAGCUUGAUAUAAGUAUCAUCGACCCCUCAAGAGAGGUGGAAGAGUUGGAUGUCAAUGCAAUGAAAGAAGAGGUGUAUAAACUGAAACAACAAAUGGCUGAAAUGUACCAAGCAUUGUUAAAAGGGCAACCACUACUAGCUUUUCCCGCCUUUAGCCCAGUGGCAUGAUCAUCCUACCACCGACCCGUCCACAAGCUUUUUUAUCUACCAACACUACCAGGGCACAACUUCCCAGACACCACCAGCUCCACCACCCAAACCAGUUGUAUAUCCUGCCCCACCAGUUGCUCCUAUAUUCGUGGCACCCCCACCCGCUACACUCCACAUAUCUUCCAGCAAACAUUUGUUCCAAACCCAUGACAACCAAUAUUACACCCUGAAGCUUACUCUUAUAGCCCCGGAACCCUAUUCAUACACUCCUCAUUUUGAUCUCCCUGUAGAAGUUGAGAAACCAUCCAAAAAUCCCGAACAGGAGGAGAUGUUCAGGAAAGUUAAAAGCUUAGAACAAUUAUUUAGAGACAUGAGGGGGUUCGGAGGUCAAAUAAGUUCGACAUACAAAGAUCUAUGUUUGUUUCCAGAUGUGCAAUUGCCGACAGGGUGUAAGAUGCCCAAAUUUGAUUUGUACGAUGGACACGGUGAUCCAGUAGUACACUUGAGAGGGUUUUGCAGCAAAAUGAGGGGAGCUAGAAGGAAAGACGAGUUGCUAAUGGUAUAUUUCAGUCAAAGUCUAAGCAGUUCAGUAUUGGGAUGCUAUAUUCGGCAAGACCAUGGAAGGUGGUAUACGUGGGAUGAUCUAGCCCAGGCAUUUACUUGCCACUUCCAGUAAAAUCUUGAAAUUAUUCCGGAUUGUUUGUCCUUGACAAAACUUGAGGACAAGCACAAUGAGAGUUUUAGGGAGUAUGGAUUCCGUUGGAGAGAGUAGGCAGCGAGGGUCGACCCUCCAAUGAAAGAAAGAGAAAUGGUGGAUUACUUCUUGCAGGCCUUGGAGCCUACUUAUUUCAAUCACUUGGUAUCGGCUGUGGGCAAGUCCUUUAAUGAAGUGGUAAAAAUGGGAAGCGUGGUAGAGGAGGGGCUCAAGUCUAACAAAAUCGUGAGCUAUUCAGCAAUCAAAGCAACCACCCACGCAAUUCAAAGUGGAACUAGGGGAGCGAUUAGAAAGAAAAAGAAAUAGGAGGUAGCAACGAUCGAUUCAGGAGCUUGGUUCAGAUCCAGGGGUUCAUCACAUUACAACCACCCUCGACCCCACCACCAAACCUACCCCCACACUCCAUAUAGCCCACCACAACACUACUACCCACCUUCAGACCCCCAUUUUUCUGUACAUCAUGCACAAACACACACUAAACCCCCCCGCCCACGCAUAAUAACGUGUGCUAACCCCAAAAAAUAUGAACCCAGCUCCACCAAAUGCCUAUCCACCUCCAAGAGCCUAACAAAACCCCUCGAGGCCAACUUUUCGGGCCAACCAAGCCUUUAAGAAUGAGAGGUUGCAGAAGAAGAAAACCUUCACUCCAUUGGGACCUAUACUAGCUUAUUCCACAGGUUGAGACAGUUAGAUCUAACACACACUAAACCCCCCCGCCCACGCAUAAUAACGUGUGCUAACCCCAAAAAAUAUGAACCCAGCUCCACCAAAUGCCUAUCCACCUCCAAGAGCCUAACAAAACCCCUCGAGGCCAACUUUUCGGGCCAACCAAGCCUUUAAGAAUGAGAGGUUGCAGAAGAAGAAAACCUUCACUCCAUUGGGAGAAUCCUAUACUAACUUAUUCCACAGGUUAAGAUAAUUAGAUAUGUUGAGGCCGAUUGAAGCAAAGUUGCUGGAUCCUCCCCCGAGGAAUCUUGAUUAUUCGGUCAGUUGCGAAUAUUGUUUCGAUGCUCCAGGACAUGACACAGAGAAAUGUUGGCAUUUGAAAAAUUCUAUACAGGAGCUCUUUGAUUCACAUCGGAUUGACGUACAAGCUCCGGAAGCACCCAAUAUUAACCAGAACACACUGCCAACCUAUCAAGAAACGAACAUGAUUGAGAUAGUGCACAAAGAAGGGGAGCCCAAAAAGCCUUCGCAAACCAUCAUGAUGAUCCGAGCCAAUGAUAGGAAAACAGUUGAAAAACUAACAAGCGAGAUGUCAAUGGUCAAGUUGAGUGAAUAAGUAGUGAGCCUUUUGCCGUAAUCAAGAAGGGGUCCCCAGAAGAUGCGAUAGUGAAACAAGAAAAUGCAAAGGUGGUGGUACAGGGGUUGCUGACCCUUGGAUUUGUGACAGUCACAUACAAAGGGAAAGAGGUUAGAGAAGAAGUCUGCGAGACCAAUACCCAUUCAGGGGGAGGGGUGCUUUGCCCCUGAGGAGUUGAGAAAACCUAAAAUCUACAAAGAUAGCCCAAUAUUGGUGAAUAAAUCUAUGAAUGAAGAAGACGCAGAGGAGUUUUUGAAAAAGAUGAAGGAGCAAGACUAUUCAAUUUUGGAACAAUUGAGGAAGACACAUGCUCAAAUUUCACUGUUAUCAUUAUUAAUCCAUUCGGAUGAGCAUCGUGGAGCACUAAUGAAGAUCCUAAACGAGACAUACGUCCCUGAAAAAAUCUCAGUCAAUCACUUGGAAAAGAUAGCCAGCAAGAUUUCGAGGUAAACAACGUCACUUUUUCUAAUGAUGAAUUGCCCGUAGAAGGUACUGAGCACAAUAUAGACCUUUAUCUUACGACAAAGUGCAAAGAUUUUGUGGUUACCCGGAUACUGGUCGACAAUGUCUCAAGUGCGAAUAUUUUCACUCUCUCCACUUUGAACAAGCUGAAAGUGGAUGAUGAAAGAGUUCACAAGAACAGUAUUUGCAUGUGAGGGUUCGACGCCGGAGGGAACGAUUUGGUCGCCAACAUAGUACUCGAGUUGACAAUCGGACCAGUUGAUUUUACUAUGGAAUUCUAGGUGUUAGGCAUGGCUGUCUCUUACAACCUCUUGUUGGGUCAACCCUAGAUUCAUGCCGGCAAAGCGUUCCCCUCUACUCUGCAUAAAAUUGUAAAUUUUGAAUGGGAUAGACAGGAAAUAGUUGUGCACGGCGAGGAUAAUCUGCAUGCCCAUAAGGAUGCAAUUGUACCGUUCAUUGAGGCUGAGGAUGACAAAGGGCCUUGGAUAUAUCAGGUUUCGGACAUGGUAUCGGUAAUGAAAAUUCUAGAAGGGGGGUGCGUUAAUGCCGAAGAUAGCUACUGCAUCAGUCAUAGUAGCCGUUGAAAUGUUGAGAAAUCAUUUUAUCCUAGGGAAGGGUUUGGGAGCGUCGUUGCAAGGUAUCGUACAACCGGUGUCUCUCCCCAAAAACAUGGACACCUUUGGUUUGGGUUCAAGCCCCCAAUUGCAGACGUGAAAAUUGCCACAAAGAUGAAGCAGAAAGUGGGCCCUUCCAAAGCCUAUUCCACAUCUCGUCAGGUUAUUUGUUAGGCCAAACACUAAGAAGCGCCCAUCAACAACAAAUCACAAUUAUAUGGUUGGUCCUGAUAAGGAAUUGUUUGAAAAUUUGUUUGAAGAUGUGAUGGUGGACGUUGGAGAGGGUUCUAGGAAGGCAGAUGUGUAGUUUGUUGGGCCCAGUGCAAAGAUCAACAAUUAGGAAGCUACUCCUCUCCCGACCAAAAUGGAGUUUUGGUAGUUUGCUUUGAUUUUCUUUUUAUCUGGAUUAUUCCAGGGUUGUAAUUCAGAUUCUACGUUCCGUACAUUUAUAUGUAUAAACCUUAUUAUCUUUCAAUUUCAAUGAAAUGCAAUUUCCCUUUUCAUUUCUGAUAGUUUUUAUUUUCUGUGCUUCUCUUUUCUUUCUUGUACAGUUCUUUUUAUGCUGAUUUCUAUGACAUGACAUGCAUAUGGAGUCUUCGGCCCAGUCUCGAGAGCCGGUCUAAUUGUGAAAUAAUAAUUCUAGAGAUAGAAUAUGAUGAUGAAUUAGAGUAUGAUGAGGGUGGGGACUUUGAAGAAAUUAGUAAAGAAUUACUCCACUUUGAGGAAAAACCCAAACCAAACCUUAGCGAUACAAAAGCAAUAAAUCUAGGAGACCCAGUUAAUAUCAGAGAAACUAAAAUAAGUGUCCAUCUUGAAACACAUCUUAGGGAAGAGAUAAUCAAAGAAUUUCUUGAAUACAAAGAUAUUUUUGCAUGUCAUAUGAUGACAAGCCGGGUCUAAGCACUGACUUGGUAGUUCACAAAUCACCCACCGAUCCGGCAUGCCCUCCCGUCAAACAGAAGUUAAAGAAUUUUCAGACUGGCAUGAGCGUAAAGGUCAUUCAAGUCACACAGUAUCCCACCUGGUUAGCCAACGUUGUGCUUGUACUAAAUAUGAUGGUAAGACAAAGGUGUGUGUUGAUUACCGUGAUCUCAAGAAGGCGAGUCCAAAGGAUAACUCCCCACUUCCAAAUAUCCACAUAUUGAUUGAUAAUUAUGCAAAACACGAGAUUGGUUCUUUUGUGAAUUGUUACGCGGGCCAUCACUAGAUCUUAAUGGAUGAGGAAGAUGCGGAAAAAACGACAUUCAUUAUGCUGUCGGGAAAGUACUACUAUAGGGUCAUGCCUUUCGGUCCGAAAAAAUGUUGGGGAAACUUACAUAAGGGCAAUGACAACCAUAUUCCACGAAAUAAUACACAAGAAGAUCGAGAUUUAUAUGGAUGAUGUAAUUGUAAAGUUCCGGAAGCAGUCUGACCACAUCAGAGAUCUGAGAAAAUUCUUCCAAGGACCCCGCAGGUACAAUCUUAAGCUUAAUCUUGCGAAAUGUGCAUUCAAUAUUCCAUCUGGAAAACUGUUGGGCUUCAUAGUCAGCUGCUGAGGUAUUGAAUUGGACCCAUUAAAUAUCAAAGCUAUCCAAGAAUUGGCACCUCUUAGAAACAAGACUGAGGCGAUGAGUCUGUUGGGGAGAUUGAAUUACAUCAACAGGUUUAUUGCUCAGCUCAUGACAACUUGUGAGCUCAUCUUCAAGUUGUUAAAAAAGGAUGCUGCGGUCAAGUGGAUGAAAGAAUAUCAAGAAGCAUUUGAUAAGAUAAAGGGGUACUUGUCAAACCCAUAUGUGUUGGUCCCGCCAGAACUGGGGAGACCUUUGAUUUUGUAUUUGACGGCGUUGGACAAUUCAUUUGGUUGUGUGUUGGUUUAGCAUGAUAUCACCGGCAGGACGGAGCAUGCCAUAUACUACCUUAGCAAGAAGUUCAAAUCUUAUGAGAUUAAGUAUACUCAUCUUGAGAGGACAUGCUGCGCCCUAACUUGAGUAGCACAGAAGUUGAAACAUUAUUUGUCCUCUUAUACUACUUACCACAUUUCUCGCUUUGAUCCGUUGAAGUAUAUCUUUCAGAAGCCUAUGCCCAUAGGGAGGCUUGCAAAGUGGUAGAUCCUGCUCACAGAAUUUGACAUAGUCUAUCUGACUUGGACUACGAUGAAAGCACAUGCAUUGGCUAACCAUUUGCAUGCAUUGGCUAACCAUUUGGCCGAGAACCCGGUGGAUGAAGAAUAUAGAACUUUGAAGACAUUCUUCCCGAAUGAGGAGGUGAUACAUAUUGAUGACUUGGAACAUGCCAAAAAGCCAGGAUGGAAACUUUUCUUUGAUGGGGCUGCCAAUAUGAAAGGCGUUGGGAUAUGAGCAGUACUUAUUUCUGAAAUAGGGAAUCAGUACCCUGUUACAGCUCAACUUCAUUUCUAUUGCACUAAAAACAUAGUGGAAUAUGAGGUUUGCAUUUUGGGUCUGAGGUUAGCUGCAGACAUGGGUAUCCAGGAAGUCUUGGUCUUGGGGGACUCGGACCUUCUAGUGCACCAAAUUCAAGGGGAAUGGGAAACACGAGAUUUGAAGAUCAUACCGUACCAGUAAUGUUUGUAUGACCUUUGUCAACCAUUUCGAUCAGUAGAGUUUAGGCAUAUUCCGAGAAUCCACAACGAGGUUGCUGAUGCUUUGGAUACUUUGGCAUCGAUGUUACAUCAUCCAGAUAAGGCUUAUGUUGACCCGCUACAUAUCCAAGUCCAUGAUUAACAUGGUUACUAUAAUGUGGUGGAAGAGGUACUCAAUGGUGAACCUUGGUUUCUCGAUAGCAAGGAAUAUAUCAGGAUGGGGGUAUAUCCAGUGCAAGCCAGAAGUGAUCAAAAGAGAACAAUUCAUCAUUUAUCAAGUGGAUUUUUCUUUAGUGGAGGGGUAUUGUAUAAAAUAACACGAGAUCUUGGGUUGUUGAGAUGCAUAGAUGUUAGAUAGGCGUUGGCCAUCAUGACCGAGGUACAUUCCGGAGUUUGUGGACCGCAUAUGAGUGGAUUUAUUCUGGCAAAGAAGAUUCUCCGAGCAAGUUAUUAUUGGCUAACCAUGGAGCGAGAUUGUAUCAGUUUUGUGCGCAAAUGUCAUCAAUGUCAGGUGCACGGAGAUUUGAUUCAUUCCCCACCUUCUGAAUUACAUACAAUGUCUGUACCAUCGCCUUUCGUUGCUUGGGGCAUGGAUGUUAUUGGGCCCAUCGAGCCACCAACGUCCAAUGGGUACAGGUUCAUUCUGGUGGCCAUUGAUUAUUUCACUAAGUGGGUUGAAGCUAAAACUUUCAAGUCUGUGACCAAGAAAGCCGUGGUCGAUUUUGUGCAUUCAAAUAUCAUCUGCCAAUUCAGGAUCCCGAAGGUAUUCAUCAUGGAUAAUUCUGCGAAUCUCAAUAGUCAUUUGAUGAAAGAGGCAUGUCAGCAGUUUAAGAUUACACAUCACAAUUCCACUCCAUAAAGCCCCAGGAUGAAUGGAGUAGUCGAGGUAGACAACAAGAACAUAAAGAAGAUACCUCGAAAAUGGUAGAGGGUUUCAGACAAUGGCACGAGAAGAUUCUCUUCGCAUUAUUGGGUUGCCGCAUUACUAUUCAUAGUUCAGUAAGGAAAACUCCUUAUCUGUUGGUAUAUGGCACAGAAGUAUUGAUACAUGCAGAGAUCGAAUCCCAUCCCUUCGGAUUGUCACUGAGGCCGAAAUGAUGAUGACAAAUAGGUCAAAACCCGCCUGGAGCAAUUGAUUUUGAUUGACAAGAAAGGAUUAGCAGUAGUGUGUCAUGGCUAGUUAUAUCAACAGAGAAUGGCAAGAGCAUAUACCAAGAAGGUGCGCUCCCGGAGGUUUGAAGUGGGUCAGUUGGUAUUGAAACGUAUCCUUCCUCAUCAGGUAGAGGCAAGGGAAAAUUUCUCCCCGAAUUGGCAGGGGCCAUUCAUCAUGAUGAGAGUGUUGUCCAAUGAGGCUUUGUAUUUAACAGAUGUAGAAGGCAUGUGUGUAGAAAUGACCAUCAAUUUCGAUGCGGUCAAGAGAUACUAUGUAUGAUUUUCUUUGGUUAAAUUGUAUUUGUUUGUACGUGGAAUAUUUUGAAGAUUGGAAUGAUGAAGGCAUUUAGUUCUGCUAUCUAAACAAUUUAUCCUUUGUUACCCCCUUUGAGCCUUAUUUGAUUUUUUUCAUUUCCCUCUUUCGGAAUCAGUAGCAAAAUCAGAAGCGUAAGCUGGAAAGACAAGUAAAGGAAAGAGUAAAGAGAAUAACGAAUAGAGAAAAAAGAAAUAGAAAAAAAAAAGAAAAUAAGUGAAGAAAAGAGAAGAAAAGGAAAAGGAAAAACAACAAAACAACAAAAGAGAAAAAGAAGAAAGAAAAGAAUCGAAAAAAGAAGAAGAAAAGAAAAAUCACGACAACAAUGCAAUUUCUAUGACGUGAACUACAUUCGAACUGAUUCCUCUUAAAGAUACACAGGUAGCCUCACGGUUUGGUCCUAUCAAAAUAAAAUCCAAAAUUCCCCAAGCAAGAAAUUGGGGCAGAAAUUGUGGUUGUUGUAGGAAAUCUAAUUUUGCAAGUUGUAAUUUUGAACACAUUGAAUUGUUUCGAGCCUUUGAUACCCUUUCUUUAUAACCCUAUCCAAAAUCGCACAUUACGGUCCAAAGAAAGACCUUCCAAUUAGUCUUCGAGAGAUGCCAGUCAGGCGAGUAGAGGUGAAUUAUAUAAGGGGAAAUACUCCAGUCCAAACAAGGAAAAUGAAAAAAUGAGAGUCUUAUCGAUGAAAACCUUCACGGCUCUGUAAGGCGACGAGAGUUGAGAGAAAUAAAAAAAUGAGAGUCUUAUUGGUGAAAACCCUCACGGACAGCGUAAGUCAACGGGAGUUGAGAGAAAUUAAAAACAAGAGAUCCUUUUUAGUGAAAACCUUCACGGGUACUGUAAGGCGAUAGUGAGUUGAGGAAUAACAAAGGAGAGAAGUUAGUUGGUGAAAACCUUCCGGUUCACCGCAGGAUGAACAAGGUCAAGGUUUGGCUGAAGAAAUCGGGUUAUUGAAUUUCGGGAAACAAAUCAUGGAAACUAAGAAUCAAUUGGUUGGACAGAUUUUUGGCCGAUUAAUUUGAAAUAAAUGUCAUGAUCAUUGGUACCAGCUGUUUCACACAGAUAAGUAUCCUUUUUUAGCAGUCAUCCAGUUUUGGAUUCUUCUUAUCCUUAACACUUAAAGUCAUUGCAUUUCAUUUUCUUUUGGGUUUUUUAUUUCUCUAAGAUGUUUCAAGGUUAAUUUUGUUUAAGCAAGUAAGAAAGGAUUUCAAAGCUUAUUACCAGCUCCCAAGAGUGCAAAGCACAAUGUGGCUAAAACAUACCAAAGACAGCAUGCUGUAAAGUGGGGUAUAAAGAAUAACCGGAAGCUUCAUCGGUGGAAUGAUUUGGUAAUUUCAAUAGAGAUGCAAAGAUUCCGUUAAAGGGGUUAGGGAUGUAAUACAACGGCUUGGGUACAGAACACUCAGCUCAUCCAAGUUCAUGGGGGUUUGAAAGUAAGUCAGAAAGUCAGGCGGUUCAGGGCCAGUUUGGGGAAUCUUGUCAAAACAAAGCAUGACAGCAGGAAGCCCACUUUCAGCAAGAAUGCCACAAACUCACCACUAUAUUUCAUAUUGACAAAAUUUUCUUUGAUUGAAACUGUAAAGACCCGACCAGUCGUUUUGAGAUUUUGCCCCUUGAUCGUCAGUUCUCAGGCAUGACAUUCCCCAUGUAGUGUAUUAUGGCUGAUAAUGAUUGUUGGUUUUGAUUGCAAGAAAAUUUGGAAUGAAUUUGGAAGAACAAUUUCAGUUGAAAGCUUGGAAUUUGAAAUGUUUGACUAAAGAGUUGACUUAUUCGUAUAUGAGCUCAGAUCAAAAUUUUAUGAUUUGGUUAGAUUCGUUGGAUGAUUUAUGACUUAGGAGUAUGAUCAGAAUUGGUUUUGGAGGACUAGUGUGGAAUUUGGCUUGAAUUGAUAAAGUUAGUAUUUUGCCGAUUUUAGGUUGGUAGCUGAGAUUUUGAUCUGAGGGUCGGAAUGGAAUUCCAAGAGUUGCAGUAUAUUUAUUAGGUAUUUGGAAUGUGUGUAAAGUUUCAGAUCAUUCGGACAUCGUUUGGUGGAGUUUUUGAUCGAAAGCGUAUUUCGGAAGUUUUUGGAAACUUAGGCUAAAAUUUGAUGCGUUUUGGGUAAUUGGAUGUUGUUUGAGGUAUUUUGAUGAUUGAGACAAGUUUUAGUAAUGUUAUGGGAUAUAUUGGCGUGUUUAGUUGAGGUCAUGAGGGCCUCGGGUGGUCAAUCGGACCACUUUGUGCCUUAAAAGCUAGUUGAAAACUACACGUUCAGAGUUGCAGGAUUUUUGUUCUCUGUGAUCGCAUAAGAGAUCUUGCGACCGCAUAUGAGGAUUUGUGGCGGUUAUUCUGUUGUUCAUUGCGUUCUCAUAGUAUCUUGCAAUCACAUAGUUUAGGGAAAAUGUUCUUCGCGAAUGCGGUUGAGGCAUCACGAUCACAUAGAGUAAAGUGGACCUAAGGUAUUGAACGGGGAGUGUGGUCUGCGAUCGCAUUGUGUACGUUGGCAGUGCAUUGCGUUCGCAAGGCAUACGUCAUGUUCGCAUAGAGUUAAUUGUGGGAGGUGAAGGUUUGUUCUUCGCGAUUGCGAGGAAUGUUCCGCGAUCGCAUAGAAGAAAAUACCCCUGGGUAGAAUGUCUUUAAAAUCAUAUUGUUCGCAAAUGUGGAUCUAUUUUCACCAAUGGAUACACGUUUUUGGAAGUUUUUAAAGGAAAUUAAAGAUGAAUUCAAGAGGAAUAGACUUGAGGUAAGAAUCUUGGUGUUAAAACUCGAUUAUAUUGUGAAAUCCACCUAGAAAUUCAUAAAAGUUUAGCCAAAAAUGGAAGAGCUCGGGCUUGGAAUUUUAAAUUGGAAUUUGAGGGGUCAUUUGGACUCUGAUUUUGUUGUUCUUUAUAUGCAUAAACUCUUGGCGAGAUAAGGAACCCGUUGAUGUAAAAUUUUUUGAGUUUUUAAAGAAGUGGGAAUGGGGCUCGGGUCUUGGUAAUUUCAAAAUUUAUGCCCGUUAUUAAAUGUUUCCGCUUGGGUUUUGUUUCCUUAGCAUAUUGUGAUGUAUUCGCUCUGAUUUUGGAUAGAUUCGACGCGUGUGGAGGCUGACUUGAGGGGCAAAGGUGUUGCGAGCUAGAGAUUUUGCCGGUUUGAGGUGAGUAAUGAUUGUAAAUGAUGUUCUGCGGCUUUGAAACCCCGGAUUGCACAUCAUAGUGCCAUAUUAAGGUGACUUGCAUGCCGGAUAGUGAGCAUGGGGUAGAGAAUCCUGGAGUGGGGUAGAGAACCAUUGGGGAUUGUGACUCGGUCCAUCCCGAUGGAUCAUUUUACUUUGUAUUUGACUGAAACUUAUUUGUUGUCAUCAUGACUUGGGUUGAUUGCCAUAUUUCGGCUUCGUGCCAACUAUUUGAACGCCUUCGGGGAUGAUUGUUGAUAUUUCCUCACUAUUUUGAUUUUAUACUUGAACUCUGUCAUAUAUUUUUCACUAUUUUCAAAACUCAACCAAGCUUACUUUGCUUUAAUAAUUGAAAUGAUAUUUCCAAUAAUAUUUUUGGGCUGAGCAUCAUGUUUUACUAUUGCCCGAGGGGCUUGCGUGAUUUAUGAUCGAGUAAGGUUGAGGGCCUAUGUGGUGAGGAUACUUUUGGAACGGGCUGCACGCCGCAGCAGUGAGAUACUGAUAUGAUAUGAGGCCGAGGGCCUAGAUUUGAUGUCAUGAAUGGCUUGGUAUUGUGCUUGGGACGUAAGGGGCCCCUUCCGGAGUCUGUACACUUGCAGUGAGCGCCGUCAACGAUAAAUGGAUCGGGCUGCACACCGCAACAGUAUAUGGAUCGGGCUGCGCGGCGCAGUGGUACCGAUACUAUUUUAUGUGUUUACUUAUUUAAUUGUAUGCAAUUAUCUAUAAUUGUGCUAUUUAAUGUUUUAUGGCAUUUUAUGUUGACUGAGUGUUGCGCCCGAGGGGCGGAUUUAUGUUCGUAUUUGCGCUAACUUUUUUGCAUAACUGUUCGAAAAAGUCAUUUUCAAAAGAGGUUUAAACUGGGUUCAGAUGUCUUCUAAAGAUUUUACACCUUCAUUGCUUUCUCAAGGGGGUUUUAUAUUGCUUCUAUACAGCAUGAUGAUUUGCUUUACGUGAUUUCUUACUGCUAAGUUAUUAUUUACCUUUAUUUCUCACUGAGUUGGAGUACUCACUUUACUCCCUACACCUCGUGUGCAUUUGCAGGCAUUUGCUCCCACGGUAGCAGGUUUUGAGCCGAUCAGAGGCCAAGUUAUCGGAGAUUAGCGAGGUGACUACCCGCGUUCGCAGCACCGCAUUUCAUCCUUUUGUUUGUCAGUUCUAUUUUGCUUACUUCAGGACUUAUAAUUGUAUUUAUACUCUAAUAGAUGCUCGUGACUUGUGACACUCCGAUUUGGGCUGUGUUUGGGUUGUAUUCCGCACUUAAUAAAGAAAGCUUUUGCUUAAAUUGUGUUAUUUAAUUAUGCUAAAACUGUUUACAAAUACUAACUAUUCUGAAAAGGCAAAAAUGGGUUUGUUUGCUGGCCUUGUCUUCACGAGAGGUGCCAUCACGACCUUAUCGGGGUUUGGGUCGUGACAAGUUGGUAUUAGAGCCUAGGUUACUAGGUCUAACGAGUCUUGAGAAGGUUUAGUAGAGUCUCGAGGAUAGGUACAGAGGCCUCUGUAUUUAUCCUCGAGAGGCUGCAAAACCCUUUAGGAAAACUCUCAUUCUUGAAUUCUUAUUGUGCGUCCUUGAUUCAGCUUGAAAGGUAACUCUUGAAAUUCCUUGCAUGCGUUCCCAUGCACGCAUGAGCGCUCAAUGUUAGAUGUGCCUUGAUGGCUUGUGAUUUCCUGAUCGAGGGGAAAGAUGUGAUCUCUGCGAGUUUGAUGUUAGGCCAGUCUAGGGGACUUGAGGCCGGAUCUUUGCCUAUGGUUUGAGCAUCGAGGUGCUGAUUAUAUGAGUAAGUGUGUCAAAUUGAUAUGUUUGUUAUUGUCCCUAUUAGUGGGAGUGACGGUUGGAUAGCUAUGUGAAGAGUAUGUUAGUACUGCGAGUUAUAUUCAUAUGAUUUGGAAGACGACGAGGAAGGUCUACUGGAGGAUAGAAGAACUAUUAGGUUCUUGAAUUCCCUCGUAAUUCGAGGUGUAGCCCUGAUUUAUGGGUGUGUGAAGAAUCUUUUCAUGUUUUCGAGUCGGGAAUGAAGUAAAUUUCAUGUAACGGUAUGAGUUUAGACUCAGGGAAACUAAGUGAUUGCGUAAUAUUUGUGACAAUGGAAGGUAUAUAGAAAUGUUAUAUUGAGGCGAAGCAGGUAGUUAUCUCAUGCGGAUUGUUCUGAAGUGGUGUGAUCCUUAUGUUGUGUAUUAGAAGAUCUCAUUUACAAGUGAAGAAUAUCUGUUAAAAUUUAAAUUUGGGUCACUUAAGAGAGUGGGCUUCACUGUUGUGAAGAUGAAUGCGAGAAUUGCAAAAGAUUUAAAGUGCCAGAUGGUUUGUGUUUCAAGAGUUAUGAAGGAUUGAGUUUAAUCUCACUAUAAUAUUAUGGCAGCGAUAGGUUAUAUGUGUUAUAAGUUAUCGAGUGUAAUUUGAUCUAUGGCUCCAAGACAAGUGGGGGAGUCUGUUGAUUAGUUGACUGCACGGUUAGGUGCUAUGUUAGUUCCAGUUUGAAGCAUACUGGUGAAUAAAUUAUGGCUUAUGGAGAUCGAGACCGAGGGUGCCUCGAGUAAAGGAAAAUUUUGGCCGAGUUUAUGCCAUGCUUCAUAGGUGUAAGAGGACAUCAGAAUGUCUUAAGUUGUUAUUGGUAGAGAAUGCUCGGUGCAUAGAGCAGGUAGAUGCUUGGUUGUAUUGGGGUGAGGAUUUCAUUCUGCGGUGCUAGAGCGCUAAUGAGGCACGGGAGGUUUUGUUCGCUUGAUCAGGGUAAUUGCAGUUUCAAUAGAGUGAAUGACUCUCGAGAAUGGUUCUAAUGUGUUCAAGAUUCUAUAUGCAAUGAUUGGGUAUCUUAAAGUCGUAUAUAUGGUUAGAAACCAAGUUUUCAUUGGAAGGGUUCAAGACUUAUGAUAUUUCCAUGUUAAUUAUGGGAUUAUAUGUGUUAGUAUCAGGAAGGUAAAGGUAAUUGAUUUAAAUUCAUAGGAAGUUUCUUCAGAGCAAAGUAUUUUGCAGGUGGUGGUUUUAGGGGUAUUUAAGAGAGUAUUCAGCGACUUAUGAGUCUCAGCUAGUGUGGUUUAAUGAUUGGGUCUCGUGUGGUGAGACUUGGGCGAGGAAUUGAGGUGCUACAGCAAGAGGGAAUAUCAAGUUGAAGAUGAAUCAGAAGGAAAUUUAGAUAGCUGGAGCAGUUCAUAGUGGACCAGACCGACAUAGUAAGGAUAUGAUUAACUUAUUAUGUGUGUUUGAGGUGAUGCGUUCUUACAGGUAUUUUGAAGCAAUGCUCUUAGGUUUCUAUGGCUUGCUUAGCUUGGUCGAGUUAGAAGGAUUCAGUCCUGGCAGGUCAAAUUUGUGCAAAGUGGACUCGGAGAGUUCUUGAUGGUUGUUACCGUGAUUUGGAGAUGUAUAUCUUCUAUCGGCAUGCGGAGCAUGGGGUGUAUAGUAACUUUCUUCUAGAUGGGACCAAUGGAAAGUUCUUGACUAGUUGAGUACGUAGAUAUUUGUGGCUCAGAGGGGAGAUAAAGUUCUCAUGAUUACCCCAUGGUGGUAUGGUAUAUACAUUACUUUGUGAAAGAUUGGGAUUUGUGUGUGUAAGUUUACAGUUUAGUUCCGAAUGGAAAGUCAUGAGAUUCUUAGGCAGCAGGAGCAGUUUUAUGUGAUUAACGAAAAGAGCUUCAGAUGAUUAGGGCGAAUGAUCUGAAGAUGAUUAAGGAAAUGGUAUUGCUAAUCUUAAUGAUUUUACGAGGGUAUAUGUUUCAGAAAAGGCAAUGUGAUUAGGUUGAUAAAACUCUGAUAGUAUUGCGGCUCUCUCUUGAUUGGAUCGACUGCCGAUAUUCGAGUUUUCUUGAUAGCAUAGAGGAAUUUCAAGGUAUCUUUCUUAGAAUGAUGGGGUACUUGAGGUGAUAUGUAUUCAGGCGGCAGAAUUUGGGAUUAGGCAUGGUGAUUGUGUGCUAUAUGGAGUUGGAGACUGGGAGUUCUCAUGUUCAUGCUAUGUUGUUGUUGUGAGUUGCAUGUGUCUAUUGUUUAGCAACUAUUGAGAUUUGAAGAACCAAGUGGAUCUUUUUUCGCUUAGCAUGUUAGAUAUUGGAUGUGAUAUUAGGUUUAGACUGGUUGUCUCCGUGUUGUGUUAUUCAGGACUAUUGCGUUAAGACGUCGCUGUUGGCUAUGCCGGAAAAUGCCAUAGGUUGAGUGGCGAUGUUUGACGGAUUAUUUCGUAUUAGGGACUCUUAUAUCGAAGACCCAGUGGACAGCUGGGAAGGACUUUCCUUCUUACUUGGGCUCUUGUGAUGAAUGUCAGUGCUGAGGCUCCUCAUAUUGAUUUAGUUUUCGUGGUGAAAGAUUUAUCGCAUGUGUUUCCCAUGGCCCGGGAAGGUUGUUGAUUUCGGUAUUGAUUUGGUUCACCGUAUCGUAUGGCACCAGCAUGAGUUAUAGUAGAGGAAAGAAUAGCUUCACAUUUACUUGAUGAUGAGUUUGUUGGCAUGCCAAAGUGAAUGCGUUUUCUAGCUUGAGUCGGCUUGGUUAACCCCGAAUUGUAUUGUUGAGGGAUAGGUUGAAUCAAUCGUUAUUGAGCUCGUUGGUGAUUGGGGAGAUCUAGGGGUGGCCGUCUAUGUUGUGAGGUGUUAUGAUUUGUUAGUUAUGGGAACAUACGGUGCAGUUCUAUUGAGGUUCAUAGUGGAAGUUGAGGGGAAAAAGUAAUUGGGUAUUGCUUGGUGAAUGGCGUAUCGGUGACGUCCUAUCGGGUCUGCGUAGUAUAUGUUACUUGUUUCAUCGGGGGUGUAGUGAUUUUCUUUGGUUCCAGGCAUCAAAUUGUGUGCGGUUGUCCGUUUCGAGCAUAGUAACUUGAGGAUUUUUAUGUGGAACAGUGUUUGGAUUGGAUCACGUAAUUUCAGCGAAGCUAUGUGGAGAUAUGACCUAGUAGGUUAGAUUUGUGUGUUCUAUUCCUAUGAUGUGAGACAAGUUCUCAGCCAUGUGUUGUGAAGAUAAUGGUGAGCUUGAGGUACAACUCUUUCAUUUGAGUUAGUUUCAUGAUAUGAGUAUGUUCGGUUGUUGCUCACUGGUGCGCGGAAUGCGCAAGUUGUGGCCUUGGUCGGUCUUGGUGCGUCAUGUCACCAGAGUAAUUGUUUUGGAUUAGAUGAGGUCAUUGGGGGUUGUAAUGAAUGCAAAUAGAUUUGAUUUUAGCAUGCUUGAUGGACAAAUAUCGAGGUUUGGUUUAAAAAAUUGCUAUGGUCCUUGCCAAAGGAGAAGUGACCUUAUGGAUGGCUGAUAUGAGAAAUGGUUAUGGCUUACUGUGUGUUUUAGUUAUCAUUGGCAUUAUAUAUAUAAGGGUGUCAGAAUGAAACAUUAGUUGAUAAGAGUUUUUCAAUCGGUAUGCGGGUGUUGUGUGCAGCUGAUGUGAAUGGAAGAUUAUCGCUUCAUGUGUUUGAGUUAAGUGGUAUAUUGUAUAAUUGCACCUAAGGUCGCAGGCCUGGGUUAUUACAUCUAGUUUUGGCCUAUUCAGAGUAUAUGUGUGAGGUUUUGAUCGUAUUGAUGGUUUCAGAAGUGGAAAUGUGGUUCAAUGGUUUAUGGGCUAGAUUGGAUUAUGUAAUUUCAGUUAUAGUUUGUUAUUAGACCUAUAUGAGAUAGAGUGUCAUGGGAUCACCCUCUGGUAUAUUCAUGCUAAGGUUAUUCAAUGAUUGGUUGUCUUUUGGAACAACUCUGGGUACGCUCGAGGAUGAACAUGUGUUUAAGUGGGGGGNNNNNNNNNNNNNNNNNNNNNNNNNNNNNNNNNNNNNNNNNNNNNNNNNNNNNNNNNNNNNNNNNNNNNNNNNNNNNNNNNNNNNNNNNNNNNNNNNNNNNNNNNNNNNNNNNNNNNNNNNNNNNNNNNNNNNNNNNNNNNNNNNNNNNNNNNNNNNNNNNNNNNNNNNNNNNNNNNNNNNNNNNNNNNNNNNNNNNNNNNNNGGGGGGGGGGGGGAUGUAACGACCUGAGCGGUCGUUUUGAACUUUUGCACUUUUAUCACCAGUUCUCGGGCACGACUUGCUCUGUGUAGUGUAUUAUGGUUGAUAAAGAUCGUUUGUUUUGAUUUCAGGAAAAUUUUGAAUGAAUUUGGAAGAACAGUUUCAGUUGAAAGCUUGGAAUUUGAAAGGUUUGACCAAGAGUUAGCUUAUGUGUAUAUGAUCUCGGAUUGGAAUUUUAUGAUUUGGUUAGCUUCAUUGGUUGAUUUGUGACUUAGGAGCAUGAUCAAAAUUUGUUUUGGAGGUCUGGUGUGGAAUUUGGCUUGAAUAGAUGAAGUUAGUACUUUGCCGAUUUCUGGUUGGUAGGUGAGAUUUUAAUCCGAGGUCGGAAUGGAAUACAAGAGUUGCAGUAACUUUGUUAGGCGAUUUGGGAUGUGUGUGCAAAAUUUCAGAUUAUUCGGGUGUCGCUUGGUCAAGUUUUUGAUCGAAAGCGUAUUUCGGAAGUUUUUGAAAACUUAGGCUUGAAUUUGAUGAGUUUAGGAUAAUUUGAUGUUGUUUGAGGUGUUUUGAUGAUUGUAACAGGUUUGAAUAAUGUUAUGGGAUAUGUUGGCGUGUUUAGUUGAGGUUUCGAGGGCCUCAGGUGAGUUUUUGAAUAGUCAAUCAGACCACUUAGUGCCUUAAAAGAUAGCACAAAAUUGCAGGUUCACAGUUGCAGGAUUUUUGUUCUCUGCGAUCGCAUAAGAGGUCUUGCAAUUGCAUAGGAGGAUUUGUGGGGGUUGUUCUGUUGUUCAUUCCAUUCGCAUAGUAUAGCUUGAGAUCGCAUAGUUUAGGGAAAAUGUUCUUCGCGAACGCGGUUGAGGCAUCGCGAUCGCAUAGAGUAAAGUGGACUUGAGGUAUUGGAUUGGAAAUUGUUCAUCGUGAACGCUGAAUGUGGUCCGCGAUCGCAUAGUGUAAGUUGGCAGUGCAUUGCAUUCGCAUGGAAUAUGUUGCGUUCACGUAGAGUUAAUUCUGGGAGUUGAAGAUUUGUUCUUCCCGAUCGCGAGGAACGUUCCGCGAUUGCAUAAAAGAAAAUACCCCUUGGCUAAUGUCUAUAAAAUCAUCUUGUUCGCAAAUGUAGGUAUAUUUCACUCAUGACUACCCAUUUUUAGAGGUUUCUGAAGGACAUUAAAGAGGAAUUCAAGAGGAAUCGAUUUGAGGUAAGAAUCUUGAUCUUAAAAGUCGAUUAUAUUGUGAAAUCCACCUAGAAAUUCAUGAAAAUUUAGCCAAAAAUAGAAGAGCUAGGGCUUGGAAUUUUGAGAUUUUAAAUUGGAAUUUGAGGGUCAUUUGGAUUCUGAUUUUUGUGUUCUUUAUAUGCAUAGAAUUGUGGCAAGAUAAGGAACCCGUGAUGUAAAAAUUUCUAAGUUUCGAGAAUUGGGCCUAGGGCUCAGGUUUUGGUAAUUUCAGGAUUUAUACCCGUUAUUGAAUAUUUUUUCUUUGGUUUUGUUCCCUUAGCAUAUUGUGAUGUAUUCGCUCUGAUUUUGGAUAGAUUCGACGCACGUGGAGGCCAUCUUGAGGGGCAAAAGCGUUGUGAGCUAGAAAUUUUUCCGGUUUGAGGCGAUUAAUGAUUGUAAAUAAUGUACUGAGGGUUUAAAACCUAGGAUUGCUCAUCGUAGUAAUAUAUUGAGGUGACUUGCACACCGGAUAGCGAGCGUGGGGUAGAGCGCCGUUGGGGAUUGCGACUUGGUCCAUUCCGAUGGAUAAUUUUACCAUGUAUUUGGCUGAAACUUAUUUGUUAUCAUCAUGACUUGGGUUGAUUGCCAUAUUUGGCUUCAAGCCAGCUAUUUGAACCUCUUCGGGGAUGAUUUUUGAUAUUUCCUCAUCGUUUGGAUUUUAUACUUGAACUCAGUCAUGUAGUUUCCAAUGUUUUCAAAACUCAGCCAAGUUUACUUUGCUUUAACACUUGAAAUGAUAUUUCCAACAAUAUUUCUGGGCUGAGCAUCAUGUUUUACUAUUUCCCGAGGGGCUUGUGUAAUUUUCGACUGAGUAAGGCCGAGGGGCCUGUGUGGUGAGGAUACUUUUGGAACGGGCUGCACGCCGCAACACUGAGAUACUGAUAAUGAUAUGAGGCCAAGGGCCUAGAUUUGAUGUCACGAGAUGGCUUGAUAUUACACUUGGGCUGUAAGGGGCCCCUCUCGGAGUCUGCACACUCCCAGUGAGCGCCGUCGACGAUAAAUGGAUCGGGCUGCAUGCUAGAGCAGUAUAUGGAUUGUGCUGAACGACGCAGCGAUACCGAUACUGUUUUACAUGUUUACCUUUUUAAUUAUUUACAAUUAUCUACUGUUGUGCUAUUUCAUGUGAUAUUUACCUGAUUGCCUGGUAUUUUCUGUUGAGUGAGUGUUGUGCCCGAGGGGCGAAUUUCUGUGCGUAUCUGCGCUAAUUGUUUUGCAUUCAUUUACAUAACUAUUGGAAAAGUCAUUUUCAAAAAAGGUAUAAACUAGGUUAAGAUGCCUUCCAAAGAUUUCCCAGCUUCAUAGCGUUUCUCAAGUGAGUUUUAUACUGCUUCUAUACAGCAUGAUGAUUUGCCUUACGUGAUUUCUUACCGCUUAGACAUUAUUUACCUUUAUUACUCACUAAGUUAGAGUACUUACUUUACUCCCUGUACCUAGUGUGCAGAUGCAGAUAUUUGCUCCCCCGGUAGCAAGUCUUGAGACGAUCAGAGGCUAAGUUAUCAGAGUUUAGGAAGGUGAUUGUCAGCGUUCCCAACACCGCAUUUCAUCCAUUUGUUUAUCACUUCUAUUUUGCUUACUACAGGCCUUGUAGUUGUGUUUAUUCUCUAAUAGAUGCUUGUGACUUGUGACCACCCGGUUUGGGCGGUGUUUGGGUUGUCUUCCGCACUUAAUAAAGAAAUAGUUUGCUUAAACUGUGUUAUUUAAUUAUGCUAAAACAUUUUACAAAUAGUAACUAUUCUGAAAAGUCGAAAUGGGUUGGUUGGCUGGCCUUGUCUUCAGGAGAGGUGCCAUCAUGACCGGAUCGGGACUUGGGUCGUGACAGAAACAGGGGCAGAAAUUUCAAGGAAACCCUUCGUAGGGGAAAGGCAAGCACCAGGCAGGUAUGACCGUAAAAAUUCAGGAUCCUCCUAAAAAAUUGGGACCUAGUUAAACUUCAAAACAAUCAUGAGUAGCAUAAGCUAGCAUAAACAUACCCCCUCCCCCUUAAAGCAUAUAAGUUGGUUUCGAGGUCUUCAUUCUUGAGAUAGGGUUUAAUUAGUUUUCAGGACCCUCCUGACUAAUGGGACCUAAAUUUAGAAACAAUGAGUAGUCAAGUCUAGUAUAAAUGUACCUUAAAAGAAUAUAUGUUGGCUUAAUAGUUUGCGUGUUUGAGAUAGAAUACAAUUAGGGACUUUCAAGACCCUCAUGAAUAAUGGGACCUAGAUUUAAGAUUUGCAUUAGAUAAUAAUAUUUAGCGUAAGUUCUGUUGUAGGGUAGUAUAAUUCAGUCGUAAAGAAUUGUCACUCAUAGGAAAAAAUUCUACUUUGGGUUGUCAUGACCCUCUAAGGUAAUGGGACAUAGCUUUAGGGUCUGCUUAGAGAAGAAGAUGCAGUAAAAGUUGUACCUUUAAAGAUAUAACUUAGUUUCAAGAUUGUCGGUAGAUAAGAGUUCUCAGGACCCUCUGGAUAAUGGGAUGUAUCUUUAAUACUUUCUUAGGUAGCAGGAUAUAGCGGAAGUAAUACCUUUAGAGGAUACAUCUUAGUUUUAAAAUUGUCGUUAGUUAAGAGUUGCCAGGGCCCUCCUGGAUAAUGGGAUGUAACUGCAAUACCUUCCUAGAUAACAAGAUAUAGUAAUAUCUCCAGAAGAUAUAACUUGGAUUUAGAACUGUCAUUUAACUAAGAGUUGUCAGGACCUUCCUGGAUAAUUGAAUCUAGCUUUCCAACUCUUAGAAUAUUUGAUAACAUGAUUCGGUUUAACACUCACAUAUGAACCCAACUACCAAACUGGGGCAGGAAUUUUCUUUGUUUUGUCUAUUGUGUUAAAAUCAGGCACUCACCUGGAGAGCAAGGGAAUACGAUCCAAGUUUGGUAAUCAGGCACCCACCCGAAGAACAAGGGAAUACAGUUCAAGUUUUGGCAAUCAGGAGCCCACCUGGAGAAUAAAGGGAAUACAAUUCAUGUUUUGGCAAUCAGGAGCCUACCUGGAGAACAUAAGAAUAAUAUUCAAAUUUUUGUAAUCAGGAGACCAUCUGGAGAACAAGGAAAUACAAUUCAAGUUUUGGUAAUCAGAAGCCCACCAGGAGAAUAAGGGAAUACAAUUAAAGUUUUGGCAAUCAGGCGUCCACCUGGAGAACAAGGGAAAACAAUUCAAGUUUUUGGUAAUUAGGAGCCCACCUGGAUAACAGGGGAAUACAAUUUAAGUUUUGAUAAUCAGGAGCCCAUUUGGAGAACAAGAGAAUACAAUUAAAGUUUUGGUAAUCUAGAGCCCACCUAGAGAAUAAGGGAAUACAAUUCAAGCUUUUGGUAAUUAGGAGCCCACCUGGAGAACAAGGAAAUACAAUUCAAGUUUUGGCAAUCAGGCGCCCACAUGGAGAACAAGGGAAUACAAUUCAAGUUUACGGUAUUCUGGAAUCCACCUGGAGAAUAAGAGAACACAAUUCAAGUUUUGAUAAUCAGGAGCCCAUUUGGAGAACAAGUGAAUACAAUUCAAGUUUUGGUAAUCAGGAGCCCACUUGGAGAACAAAAGAAUACAAUUCAAGUUUGUUGGCAAUCAGGAUCCCACCUGGAGAACAAGGGAAUACUAUUCAAGUUUUGGCAAUUAGGAGCCCACCUGGAGAGCAAGAGAAUACAAUGCAAGCUCAGCAAUCAGGCACCCACUUAGAAAACGAGGGAAGACAAUCCAAGUUUCGAAGGAAUGCAGUUCAGGUCUAGUAAUCAGGAGGCCACUUGAAGAAAGGAAAAACAUCUCAGAUUGCAACUCAAGUCAGCAACAAAGGAAUUUCACCAGGAGAAUACAAGUCAACAAGACAACAAGGAUCACAAGAUCAAGUUUGAAGAUAUAGAUAUGAUCUUUUUAUUAUUCAUAGGUCAUAGUUUAAUCUAGCUUCUUUUUAUUUUGUCAUGGUUAUAUAAGGAGUUCAGUAAGCAGUAAUAGCAGUAGUAGCAACAACAGUGAAAUAACAGCUUCAUGGUAGUCCCUGCUACCAAAACUUCUAGAACUACACCGACUUGAUUCCUUUAUAACCAAGGAUAUGUAGGCCACCUGUGAAGCAAGGUUCGGUCAGACAUUUUUCAAAAAAUGCUUCUCAUGAAGUGUCAAGUAGGCAAAAAUCCCUCAUCGUUGCUCAUUUUAUUUUUUCUUGAAAAUCCUUCGUGUCUCAGAGCAAAAAGGGGCAGUUGUAAGCACAUGAUUUUUGCCUCGUAUGAAUUGCUCCUACAGAACUCCCAAAUCUAGGAUUUUUCUUUUAAUUAUUUGAUUUUUUUUUGGAAUCACUGCAUGAUUUUGUGCUUGUUUGCAUUUUUACGUGCAUAUUUAAUUUAUGAAAUUCAUGGCAAAAUACAAAAAUACAUUGCAUUGGCAUUUAAGAUUCACUUUUUAUUUUUUUUAGGAUAAUUAGUUAUUUAAAGUUAUAAAAAUGAAAGAAAAUAAGAAAAAUAGCUCUUUUUGGAUUUUUUACUUUUAAAUUUUUUAAAUUUAUUAGAGCUUCCCUUAAUUUAGGACUUCACUGAUUUUUGAGGAGCAAUUAGUUAUUAAUUUAAUUUUUGGGAUUAAAUCACAUUUUUAGAUUUUUAUUUGUAAUUAGCAAAAUUUAAAAAUGAAAAAAAAAGAGAAAAGAAGAAAGAGUUUGUUAAUAAAAGGGAAUUUGGGCCAAUUCAACUUAAACCCUAAGCCCAAACCAUUUCUUCUCUUAAAACCUGCCCAAAUUACCCCUGAUCCAGUCCACUUCACCCUAGUCCCAAACGACCCCGUUUAAGUGCAAAUUUGAUCACAACCGUCGAGAUUAGGAGAUCGGACGGUUGAGAAGUGAAGUCCCUUCAGUAUAAAACUAUCCAAACAUACCCACCUACCUACCCUCAUCCCCUCAUCUCCCUCACCUUCUCUGUCUCCCUAUAACGUCCGCCACCAGCCGCCGUCGAAAAUUGUACCACGGUGGCAUCAAGUCUCCAAUAGCCCUGAAAUUCACACCACCUUCUUGUCUCCUCCCUCAUGCUCAUACCACACCUCGUUUCCCUCAAAUCCCACUGGAAUGCGCCAAAUCUUCAAAACCCUAGUGCCGCCACAGUUCCUCCGGUGGCGGUGCAGCCUCCAGCCGACCCCAAACUAACACCAGAGAACCUCCAAGGCUCCCUCAUCCCAAAUUCCCAUUUAUUUUCCCUUGAAUACCCCUUAAUUGGCUCAAAUAUUAAAUUAGAGGUCGAAGCCCUAAUUCCUAUAACUCAAAAUUCAACGGGUAUGUGAGGAUUUCAGACUGUGUUGGACCUUAGUCUUGUGUUUUCACAAAAAAAACACAAGAUUAAGGUCCAUCUUAGCCAUAAAUUAAAGAUUUCAUCGAAAUUUUAACUCAAACUGUGGUUUACCUAAUUCUGAUAAUCACUCCGGUAUUUCAUCCUUUUCAUUGUUCUUGUCUUCUUAUAUCUUUUCUUCUUUUGUCAUUCUAUUUUUCUCAAUCUGUUUUGCAUGUGUUUCUAUUAAUCCAGUCAAGUGUUAAUUGCUUUUUCUCUAGUUUAUUUGAUUUCAUUAGAUUAGUUUAAUUUCUUUGUUUAUUUUAAUUUCAAGUCUAGGCUAUUAUUGAAUCUUUAGUUCAUAUUUUGGAUGGUUUUUUUCUGCCUAAGUAUUUUGCGGAAUCGUGGAAUCAGACCCGGGUCCAAAGAAAAGAAUUAGCCCAGGUCUUGUUUGAAUUAAGCUAUUUGUUUUGAGUCGGGUCAUAUAAACCUAUGUCUGGGCUAGUCUGAAUACUGGGUUAGCUUGACCCAUGAAUUUUAAGGUAAAAAUAUGGUUAAUUAGGGGUAAAUUGGGUAGAUCACCUAAAGAAUCUUUUAGUAACAGCCUUAAGAAGCUUCUAGAAAGCUGAAAAUAGCCUUGCUUGGCUAGCAAGUCAGAAAAUGAGGGACUUCUAUGAAAAAUUAAGAAUUAAAAAGGGACUAAAAUGUAAAGCUGAAAUCUAUUGUUUACCCUACUUUCCUUGCCUAUAAAGGAAUCUUUUCUUGCUUUUCAGGGCAUACCUAAGUGAUAGAAAAGUCUGAAAAUUAGAACAACAAAUAAUGAGAAGAAAGCUACUGUCCUAUUGAAAUUUUCUUCAAUUUUUCUUAGUUUUCAAUUGUUGAAAGUCGGUGGAAUUGGUGUUACUUGGUUUUAAUUCUCUGAAUCACUCUGCUGGUUUAAAUCUUCAGGAAAACUUCUGAAAAACUGAGAGCUGGUGAUAAAAAUGAGUUUGAGCUUGGGUAUAGAAAGAGCUUGGUUUGAUUUUGUUGGUUGGUUCUGUUGAGUUUCUUUUGUUUGAAGCAAUCCUAUUAUUUCAUUGCUGAGUUGGUUGAAUCUGGGGUUUCUUGCAUCUAUUUACUGCUGUUGUUCUAAUUUCACUCUUAUUUUUCUUUUUUCAAGUAUUCAUCUCACCUUCUAAUGUAUGAGAAAGGAUGAACAUGAAGUUUGGUUUACUCAAGUCGAGAUUUGCAAUAUUACAGUUGUUUGUUUAAUGUUUCUGUAUUUUCGAAGUCAUCUGAUUUAGUUUAGUUUUCUUAUGUCUCGUACUAUUGUGAUUUGAAUAUGAAAUGAUGUAGUAGUACGAACUUGUUAGUUUAUAAUGCUGAUUACUAAAUGUGUGUGAAAGGUCAUGAUAAAUGAUGGGUAAGAUCUGGAAGUUGUAUGUGCUCACAAGGUUGGGUGGCUAUUUCAUUGUUGAUCAAUGUGCAGAAAAACUCCUGUAUUCGUUACUGUUGAGAGUAGCACAAUUAAAAUUAAUUGGUCAAGUAGCAGUUAACAUAGAAUCCGUGAUAAAAAUGGGAAACAUGAUUAUAUAAUUAGGGUAUUACACUGAUGUUUCAAUGUCUAAUAUGUGAACGCUCAUCAUAUGAAUGUGUUAGAUUAGAAUUAGUAUGAAAGUUGAACUGUUUAUCUCCUUGAUUUGGAUGUAAAGGUUCAGCAAUGAACAUGUUCAUUUAAUCUUCAAGUUCUAGUAGAUGCCCACUUAUAGUGUUCAUUAAUUAGUGCAUAAGGUUGUUGGAACCUAAAAAGGGUUUUGAAUGAGUUUCUAUUUAGUUCCAAUCAAGUCUUCAGUGUCAAUAAUUAUUAAUUCAACUGUUGAGCUUGUUCAUGGGUUUGUGGUCCUUGGAUGCUCUAUUCAUUAUGAUUUUCCAAAUUUAAACUACAUUCUGUUGUUGCCCGGAUUCGAAGACGUGACCUAUUUGAUAUUCAAUUUGGGUAAUGCCUCAUGUAAAUUUGGGCUCUUCGUUGAGUCCAGAUAGGGUCAGCCAUAGAACCCGUUGCUUGGCAUUCCUGUGAUGUUCUUUGAGCUAUAGGGCCUCACCUUAGGCUAGGCCCGAGUUUUGAACACUAAGUAUGGACUGGACCUUGCUUCAUUUUAAUUUGGACCCACGUUCGAGCUCAGUCGAGAAUCUAAAGUAGGUGAGAUUCCUUUAGGCAUUAUUUCAUUGAUAAAUCAUGGGCUAGUUGAGGUGUGCCACUAAAAACCAAUAAUGAUUUAUGGCCCUCGUGAAUUAAAAUAAAAACCCUUAAGCUAAUAUAAUUCAAGGCGCUCCAUGCCAUACGAAAAUAACAAAUGCAUGCCCCUUGCUUAAUUAAGUUUGAUUUAAUUCUUAGAAUUCGAGGCGCUUCAAUUAGCAAAUUUUGAUAGCCCUCGCAAAGUUGCCAAUACGUAGUUGCUUUAGGCGCGUUAUUUUAAUAACUUACAUUCCUAAAAUCGGGUGCGCAUUUAUGUGACCCAAAUUCAAAUCUCAAAUUUAAAUAAAAUGUGUUGUGAACUGCGGGUGCAUUUAUUUGACGUGGUUCAAGACAUAUUUUAAAUGACGUUUGAAUUUUCCAUAAAAUAAUUAAAUAAAGCGAUUAAAAGUUAAAAUUGCAGAUAGGUUCAAAAAUAUUUUAAAUCAGAUAAAUAGGCCAAUAAUAGUAGUAGAGCAACCGUGCUAGAAUCACGGAAUUCAAAAGUACCUAACACCUUCUCCCGGAUUAACAAAAUUCCUUACCCGGAUUUUUGGUUCGUGGACUAUAAUUUAGAGUCAACCUUUUCCUCGAUUAGGGAUUUGAACAGGUGACUUGUGACACCAUUAAACUAUCCCGAGUGGCGACUCUGAAUUUUAAUAAAUAAAUCCUUUUUUGAUUGUCACUUUAAGUUGAGAAAAACUCCCUUUCUGCGCCCUUCGUGGGAUAUAGUGAAAAAGGAGGUGUGACAUUGCUCAUAAAAUUAUUUUGUGGCAGAUUAUGGACCACUGCUUAAAAGCCAUGCCAAUAAUAUAAAAAUCAUACAAAAUAUCGUCAUAAUUCACUUAAUUACAACUCCAACCAGAGAAUAAAAUUUUUCAUCGAAAAUCCAAGACUAGUAAUCACGUACGGUAUGAAAAUAUAAACAAAAGUUUGGGAAUUCUUAUGCACAAAUAUGCGAAACGCUCCAAUCAUUAGUAAUCCAGGAUAUCAAACAGAGGAUUUCUCUUUCUUACAAAAUAAUUAUAUCAUGACACAAUAUCAAUUAUCCCUUGUAAGACCUAGUUAAUAAAAUCCUACACCUCUAUUAUUGAAUUUAAUACAACAACACGUCUAUUUACUAAUAGCCAAUGUAUAAACCUAUUGUAUCACCAGUAUUUAAUCAUGGAGACCAUGGGGAGUCACCCUCACUACCAUUGAAUUAAAAAUGAAUGAAAAGUAUUAAAAGAUAAUUUUCAGAAAAUAGAAAAACGUCCAAAACGCAGUCCAAACGGCUUCAAAAUGCCGAAAAACACCAUGGUUCACUGCAAAAGCAAUGCAUUUUUCUCACCACGUCGUUUUCAAUAGACCCACUAAAUUUUAGCUCAAUCAGAGUUCGUCAAGUUCGCUGACCUCCGAAAAUACUGGCAAUCCGGUCAAAAUCAAGUUUUGUUUUUUUACUAGGUAUAUCCAAAACAUCGAGAUCAUCUCAAGAAAAUAUCAAUAAAAACAGAUAUCUCAUGAAUACAAGAAUAAUCCAAAAUUUUUGCACAGUUAAUUCACAAAACAGCGGUUCAGUUUUUCAGAAAACAACAUAUAUAUGUAAUUCAAAAACGCACAUAAACACGAUAUUCUUGUUUCAUGAAAAAAUUAGUUAUCUAAUUCGAUGUAAGUGGACUCUGAUACCAAUUGAUGGAUUAUUAUAUGCAGCAGAAGCAAUCCCAAUAUCAAAAUCACAUGAAAUGUAGACAACUAGCAUAAAUGAGAUUUCACGGGUUACCUCUUGAAGCGUGAACAAAACUCCGUUAUCACAUGAGCCUCCAAUUUCACAACAACUCAAUGAAUUCUCCACCACCCGCACAAUCACGAUCUCCGAACGUUCCACGAUCUUCUACUGUGUUACCCAAAUAAUAUCCGAAAAUAGUAAUUUCAUGUGGGCGAAAUUUCUAGGAAAAUAUGGCUGAAAAUUUCAGCCGUCAUGUACUACACCCUUUAGGUGGAAAACCUUAUGUAUUUAUAACUCAAUUUUUAAGGGUUAAAACCCUUUUCCAAAACCUGUUUGGUUUUCCUUUCCACCAGGAAAAGAGUUCCUUUAUUUCCUAUUAUUUACGCAUAGCAGAGACCACAUAAUUUAAUGAACAAGGCUCCAAUUAUGGAAUUAAUUUCUAUUUUUCAAAAUUAAUAUCCACCAUAAUUAAUUACGAAUUAUUCCACAAAAAAUUCGUAAUUGCAUUCCUUAUUCAAUUUCGAAAUUCAUCAAUUAAAUCUUAUUUAUCUCCUUAUAUUAAGAUUUAGAUACUAAUAAACUAAAUUAAAUUACUAAUGAUUUAAUUUAUUGAUUACUCCUUUAGACUUUCGCUUAACUUAUUUCAUGUGUCGGAUACAAAAGCCACUGGCAGGAUUUACACAUGAAAACUUAUAAGCUUUCACAAAGGUGUAUCAUCAAUCUCUGAACCGAGACAUGGAUUCCAUCAACUAACUAUUACUUCGUCAAUGUACAUUNNNNNNNNNNNNNNNNNNNNNNNNNNNNNNNNNNNNNNNNNNNNNNNNNNNNNNNNNNNNNNNNNNNNNNNNNNNNNNNNNNNNNNNNNNNNNNNNNNNNNNNNNNNNNNNNNNNNNNNNNNNNNNNNNNNNNNNNNNNNNNNNNNNNNNNNNNNNNNNNNNNNNNNNNNNNNNNNNNNNNNNNNNNNNNNNNNNNNNNNNNNNNNNNNNNNNNNNNNNNNNNNNNNNNNNNNNNNNNNNCAUAAAAUACUUAUCUCUACUUGGUCCGUUCAAUACAUACAAAAUGUACUAGUACAAGAAGUUGGAAUUAGACUAUUCUCACAAUUAAGAUAAAUUAUAUUUAAUCUUGUGCUACAAUCAUUCCUGAUGGGUUGUCCAUUCUAUCAUUAGAUUGUGAACUCAAACUUUAUACUUAUAAGAACCAAUGAUUUAAUCUUCCACGUAUAAGCUAAACUCUAUACACAAAAUCAUCUACUAUAUAAGCAAAGGAAACCGACUAAUAUAUGAUCUAUUAAAACUUUAUUAAAAGUGAAUGAACAAUAUUAUCAUUAUAAAUACUAUAUCUAAACCAAAUACAUGGUUAAUAGUAUUGUCACGACCCACUUCCUGAACUCGGUCGCGAUGGCGCCUUUCGUGAAGACAAGGCCAGCCAGACCAAAACUGAACACCUCUGAUAAGAAGUUAAAUGAUACAUAAUAGUUCUAAUCAUGAAAUAAUAGCCAAAUUUGUGGAAUAUAGCGAUAACAAAAGAGGAGGAACAUCUCGACACAACCCAAACUGAGGUGUCACAAGUCAGGAGCAACUAAUGAAUCCUGAAAAAAGUCUACUAAAUACGAAAUCUGAUAAAAAAUUCUGAAAGACAUGGAGUAAUGAGAUAAGGGAGGCACAGGGAUGCGGACGCCAACAACUACCUCGUAGUCUCAUAGACACUGCCCAACUUGGAGGAUUAGCACUCAGGAGCGAAAUAUGCUAUGCCUGAAUCUACACACAUAGUGUAGGGAGUAAUGUGAGUACUUCGACCCAGUCAGUAAUAAUUAUAAAUAAUGACUGAAAACAAGAAAACGCGCAAAUGUACAAAGCAAACCAGAAAAAUCACUUAAAAAGGCAAACCAGUGAAGAAGUCAAAUGAAAUUCCUUUAAAGAAAUUAAAACAGGUAAUUUAGCAGGUAAGUAAAAAGUAGGAAUUGCCCCUCGGGCAUAGUAUCAAUCACCCAGCAGUAUCAGCCCUCGGGCUCACUCUCAGUAUAGUAUCAGCCCCUCGGGCACAGUAUCAGUCACUCCGAAGUAUCAGCCCCUCGGGCGCAGUAUCAGUCACUCCGAAUAUGAUGGGUACCCGCGCUCACUGUGGGCAUGCAAACUUCGGAGGGGCCCAUUACGGCCCAACCGCUAUAUCAAUCCACCUCGUGGCAUCAUCACUCGGUACUCCCCCUCACAUCAUUCAAGCCACCUCGUGGCCUAUAAAUGUAUUCAGGCCCUCGGCCUCAUAUUACUCAGCAAAUCCUCACAUAUGGCCCUCAUCGUCACUCAGUCCGAAAAAUCAUCACAAGCCCCUCGGGAAUUAGUAAAACAUUAGUUCUCAGCCCAAAACAUCAUUUAGAAAUAUCAUUAAGUUUCAAAUCCGAGUAAAAGCGGCUGAGUUUGUAAAACAGUGAAUAAUAAUAGGACUAAAUUCAAGUAAUAAAUCAGAACUGUAAGGAAAUAGUGAUAAAAAUCCCAAAAGGGUUCAAAUAAUCGGCACGAAGCCCAAAUAUGGCAAUCAGACCAAAUCAUGAUGAUAACAAAUAAGUUUUGAUCAAACAUACAAUAAAAAUCAUCAAUUGGGACGGACCAAGUCACAAUCCUCAGUAGUAAACGAUCCCACGCUCAUCAUCAAGCGCGUGGAUCAAAUCAACAUAGCACUACGUUAUGCAAUCCGGGGUUUCAAACCCUCAAGACAUUAUUUACAAUAACUGCUCACCUCGAACCGGCUACAACUCUAGCUCGCGACGCAUUUUCCCCUCAAAUCGGCCUACACACGCGUCGAAUCUAUCCAAAUCACAACGAAUAUGUCACAAUAUGCCAAGGAAACAAUACCCAACCAAAAACAACAAAAAAUAUCAAACAUUCUGAAAUUGGAAAAACCCGAGCCCCAAGCCCGCUUCUCGAAAUUCAAAAUUUUUUACAUCAACGGGUUCCUUAUCUUCCUACAAGUUCAUAUAUACCAAUAGUUCUCGAAUCCUACCCUAAAUGGUUCUCCAAAUCCUCAAUUAGAAUUUCAAAAUUCCAAGCCCUAUUUUUCCAUUUUUAGCAAUAACUCAAUGAUUUUUUAGGUGGAUUUCACAAUAUAAUUGAUUUUUAGGUUCAUAAAUCUUACCUCCAAUCGAUUGCCCUCGAAUCCCUCUCCAAUUUCCUUCAAAAUUUCUCAAAAACCACCAACAAUAGAGUGAAAAUGAGCUUCAACCUGCGGAUGAAAUGUUUAUAACCCUUCUGUCCAGGCCUGAAAAUCCUUCAUCGCAUUCGCGACCUAAGCCUCGCGAAUGCGAAGCAUAUUUUUUUCUGACCAAACUUAACCUUACGUGAACACGAUACCCAGACCGUGAACGCGAUUCCUUAUUACCCAGACCUAUACGAAUGCGACUUACCUGAUGCGAACGCGAUGAGUAAAUGCAUUGGGUCCCCAAAUCCUUAUAUGCAAACGCGAGCAAACCAAUGCGAACGAGGAAAACCAGAAAAUAACUUUCCGCGAACGGGGACCCUCAACCGCAAAUCCAAAGUGUAAAACAUUUGCCUUCCAAAUUUCUUCUACGCGAUCGCGAGGAACCCCACGCGAUCGCAAAGGCUUAAAAUCUGCUACAAUUGCUUCUCAUUUUCUGCAAUUUUCAAAGUCUCAAAACUUCGCGUUAGCCAUCUGAAAUCACCCCGAGGCCCCCGGGACCUUAACCAAAAGCACUAACACAUCCUAAAACAUCAUUCGAACUUUUUCCAAUCAUCAAAACACCUCAAACAACGUCAAAACCAUCGAAUUACAUCAAAUUCAAGCCUAAGUUCUUCUAAAACUUCUGAAACACGCAAUUGAUCAAAAACCCAACCAAAUCACCUCUGAAUGACCUGAAAUUUUGCACGCACAUCCCAAAUCACAUAAAGAAGCUACAACAACUCCUGAAAUUCCAUUCUGACUCUCGGAUCAAAAUUUCACCUACCAACCGGUAAUCGCCAAAAUACUAACUUCGCCAAUUCAAGCCUAAUUCUAGUCCGGACUUCCAAAACCAAUUCCAAUCACACUGCUAAGUCAAAAAUCAUCCCCCAAAGCUAACCGAACCAUCAUAAAUCACAUCCGUGCCCUCUAACACAGAAGUCAAAAUUCGAUUGGCUUUUCCAAAUUAAGCCUUCCUUAAAAAGACUAAGUGUCUCAUUUCUUACAAAAUCCACUCCAAAUGCAAACCAAUCAAAUCGACCACAUUAAACACGGAUAAUAAACCAUAAAGAAGCAGAAAUAGGGGAAAACAGAGCGGCAACCCAUGAGAUGACCGGCCGGGUCGUGACAUCCUCCCCAAUUAAAACAAACAUUCAUCCUCGAACAAGUCUAGAAACAUACCUGAAGCCAUAAAUAGGUGUAGGUAUCUGCUCCGCAUCUCCCGCUCGGUCUCCCAGGUAGCCUCCUCCACGGGUUGGCCUCAAUACUGUACUUUCACUGAAGCUAUAUCCUUCGACCUCAACUUUCAAACCUAGCGCUCCAAAAUGGUUGUUGGCUCUACAUCAUAAUUCAAGUCACCCUCCAACUGAACUGUGCUGAAAUCUAGAACAUGGGACGGGUCUCUAACAUACUUUUGGAGCAUAGAAAUAUGUAAUAACAGAUGCACACUCGACAAUCUAGGUGGCAGAGCAAGCAUAUAAGUCACCUCCCCAAUCCUCCUAAGUACCUCAACAGGCCCAAUGAACCGCAGACUCAACUUUUUUUUCUUUCCAAAUCUCAUAGCACCCUUCAUGGGCAAAACCUUCAGCAAGACCUUCUCACUAACCAUAUAGGAUACAUCUCGAACCUUCCGGUCCGCAUAACUCUUAUGGUGCGACUGUGCUGUAAAAGUCUCUCCUGAAUCAACUUCACCUUCUCCAAGGCAUCCUGAACCAAAUCUGUCCCCAAUAGCCUAACCUCGCCAGGAUCGAACCAACAAACUGGAGAUCUACAUCGUCUCCCAUACAAAGCCUCAUACGGUACCAUAUGAAUGUUGGACUGAUAGCUGUUGUUGUAGACAAACUCUGCAAGCGGAAAGUACUUAUCCCACGAACCUCCAAAAUAAAUAACAUAGGCAAGCAACAUAUCCUCCAAUAUCUGAAUAGUACGCUCGGACUGUCCGUCUGUCUGAGGAAGAAACGACGUGCUCAACUCCACCAGAUUCCCUAACUCUCUUCACACGGCUCUUCAAAAUUGCGAUGUGUCUGAGUACCUUUGUCUAAGAUGAUAGAAACCAGAACACCAUGCAACCGAACAAUCUCUCGAAUAUAAAUCCCUGCCAGCCGCUCUAACGAAUAGGUAGUACACACAGGAAUGAAGUGCGCAAACUUGGUCAGCCGAUCCACGAUCACCAAAUUGCACCGAAGUUCUUCAAAGUCCGAGGAAGUCCAAAUUCCAUUGUAAUCCUCUCCCAUUUCCAAUCAGGAAUCUCUAUCCGCUAAAGCAAGCCACCCGGUCUGUGAUGCUCACAUUUCACCUGCUGACAAUUAAGAAACCAAGCUAAAAAUCCCAUAAUGUCUUUCUUCAUCCUUCUCCACCAAUAGUGCUGCCUCAAAUCCUGAUACAUCUUCACGGCACCCUGAUGAAUAGAAUACCGCAAGCUAUGGGCCUCCUCAAGAAUCAUAUCUUUAAGCCCAUCCACAUUGGGCACACAGAUCCGGCCCUGCAUCCUCAACACUCCAUCAUAACCAACAGUCACAUCCUUAGCAUCAUCAUGUUGAACCUUGUCCCUGAGGACAAGCAAGUGUGGAUCAUCAUACAGGCUCUCUCUGAUGCGAUCAUAUAAGGAAGACCAAGAAACCACGCAAGCCAACACCUGACUAGGCUCAGAAAUAUCCAACCUCACGAACCGAUUAGCCAAAUCCUGCACAUCAAAUGCAAGAGGUCUCUCCCCAACUAGAAUAUAUGCCAAGCUCCCCAUAUUAAUUGUCUUUCGGCUCAAAGCAUCGGCCACCACAUUGGCAUUUCCCGGAUGAUACAGAAUAGUGAUAUCAUAAUCCUUAAACCACUCUAGCCACCUCCGCUACCUCAAAUUAAGAUCCUUUUGCUUGAACAAGUGCUGAAGACUGCGAUGAUUAGUGAAAAUCUCACAAGAUACGCCAUACAAGUAGUGCCACCAAAUCUUCAAUGCAUGAACUAUAGCAGCCAACUCCAAAUCAUGAACAAGGUAGUUCUUCUUAUGGGGCUUCAACUAACGAGAAGCAUAGGCAAUAACUCUACACUCAUGCAUCAAUACAUAGACAAUCCUAACUCUCGAAGCAUUAGAAUAUACGGUAUAUGAACCAGAAGCUGAUGGCUCUUGAGCUUCUGAAAGAUCUCCUCACACUCGUCCAACCACACAAAUGAAACGCCCUUGUGAGUAAACCUGGUCAAGGGUGAUGCAAUAGAAGAGAAUCCCUGAACAAACCGGCAAUAGUAACCUGCCAAGCCAAGGAAACUACGAAUCUCUAUGGCUGAGGACGGUCUAGGCCAACUCUGAACCACCUCUAUCUUCCUUGGAUCGACCUGGAUAUGCUUGCUGGACACCACGUGCCCCAAGAAAGCCACUCAACUAAGCCAAAACUCGCACUUGGAGAACUUUGCAUAAAGUUUUUCCUCUCUCAAUCUCUACAAUACAAAUCGCAAAUGCUCUGCGUCAUCUUUCUGACUACGCGAGUACACCAGAAUAUCAUCAAUGAAUACAAAAUGAACGAAUCAAGAUAAGGCCGAAAUACACUGUUCAUCAAAUAUAUUAAACACCAUUGGGGCAUUUGUCAGCCCGAAAAACAUGACAAGAAACUCAUAGUGACCAUAUCUAGUCCGGAAGGCAGUCUUAAGAAUAUCAGAAUCCUUGAUCUUCAAUUGGUAAUAGCCCGAAUGAAAAUCAAUCUUGGAAAAAACCCUCGCUCCCUGAAGCUGGUCAAAUACGUCAUCUAUGCGAGGCAGGGGAUACUUGUUCUUGAUGGUUACUUUGUUUAAUUGCCUAUAAUAAAUGUAUAUCCUCAUGGUGCCAUCCUUCUUGUUCAUAAAUAGAACUAGCGCACCCCACGGUGUACACUAGGCCAAAUGAACCCCAUAUGUAGGUGUUCCUAGAGUUGCUCCUUCAAUUCUUUCAACUCUACAGGUAGGUGCCAUACGAUAUGGCGGAACAAAAAUUGGGCUGAGUGCCGGGCACCAAGUCAGUACCAAGAUCAAUAUCCCUAUAUGGUGGCAUGCCCGACAGGUUUGCAGGAAAAACAUCGGGAAAAUCCCUCACAACUAGGACAUAAUCAAUACCGGGAGUCUCAGCUCCAACGUCCCGCGUAAAAGAUAGAUAUGAUAGACAACCUUUCCCAACCAUAUUCUGGGCCUUCAAGAAAGAUAUCAUUCUACUAUGAACAUAAUCAGUCAUACCAUGCCACUCGAUCUGCGGUAUGCCCGACAUAGCCAACGUGGCUGUUUUAGCAUGACAGUCUAGAAUAGCACGAUGCGGAGAUAACCAAUCCAUGACCAAAAUCACAUCAAAGUCCACCAUGAUCAAUAGCAGUAGAUCAACUCGGGUCUCCAAACCCCAAUAGUCACAAUACAUGACCGAUACACACGGUCUACAAUAAUAGUAUCACCCAUUGGGGUAGAUACAUGAACAUGUGAGGCAAGAAACUUUCGGGGCGUACCCAAAUGGUGAAAAAAAUACGAGGACACGUAAGAAAAGGUGGAUCCGGGAUCAACUAGUGCAGAGCAUCUCUAUGGCAGACUGCAAUAAUACAUGUAAAAACCGCAUCUGAAGGAAUAAUAUCUGGCUUGACUGGCACAACAUAGAAAUGAGCUUGGCCAUUGCCUAAUCAGCCUCCCCCUCUGGGGCGACCCCUGGCUGCCUGACCUCUGCCCCUAGUUGGUUGGACGGAUGGUAAAGUAACUGGAGCAUAAGCCGAGGGUUGACCCCUCUGCUGGGACGAACUGGCAGCACGACGAGGACGAUGCCUCCACAAAUGCCCAUACUCUCCACACAUAAAGUAACUCCAAGCUGCUAGAAACGGGGACUGAUGGGAUCCCCUCGUACCAGAGUGACCAGUUUAUGAACUCAACAUGGAUGAACCCUGAGCCGAUGGGGCACGAGAUGUACUCUGAGCUGGAAGGGCGCUGAGAGAAAGCUGACCCUGCUGAGACCCACGAUAACCACGACCUGAAGAUGCCCCAUGAUACUCUGGACAGGCUGACUGGGCAUGACUGAAAGAACGACCCCUACCAUGUUAAAACUGGCCCCUCGAGGGAGCUUCACUAAAACUGCCAAAACCUCGAGGCCUCUUAGCCUCUCUCUCCUCUCUAUUUUGACGGUGAACUGUCUCAAUCUCAUGAGCAAUAUCAACCACCUUCUCAAGUGUAGCACCCUAUACUCUCUCUAGUCAUUAAGAUACGGAGAUGAUAGUUAAGGCCAUCAACAAACCUCCUAAUCCUCUCACGAUCGGUCGGAACCAUCCACACGGCAUGACAAGCCAACUCCGAAAACCCCGACUCAUAUUGUGACAUAAUCAUAUCCCUUGUCGCAGCCACUCGAACUAUCUACGCUGCUCCUCUCUGCGGCAGUGCGGUACAUACUUCUCCAAGAAGAGAGUGGAGAACUGCUACCAAGUAAGGGGUGCUGCACCAACCGGCCUACGCCUCUCAUACACCUCCCACCAUGCGAAGGUGGCCUCAGUUAACUAAAAGGUGGUAAAUGCCACGCCACUAGUCUCAAGAAUCUCUGUUGAACGAAGCAUCCACUCACAUUUAUCUAGAAAACCCUGGGCAUUCUCACCCUCAGCACCACUGAGUGGCGAAGGUUGGAGUCUACCAUAUCUCUCAAGAUGACGCUGCUCAUCAUCCGGCAUAACUGGUACCAUAAACUCCCGAACUGGUGCAACCGGUGGGGCUAAGGUUACCUCAGGUAUCUGUAGGUCCUGCACUCCCUGCUCAGGUGUGCGAGCAACGGGGGUCUGACUGCCUCCCCCAGCCUGUGAAGUAGCUGCUGCUGUGGUGGCUGAAACUGCCUAAGCCAGGCCAGUGCAAACUGUCAAGAUCUAUGCCAAGGUAUCCUAUAGACCCAGAAUCACGAUGGGCAUAGGUAGUGCUAGAGCUGGUGCCGUUGCUGGAACCUGAUCUGGAGCCGGGCAGCUGGUGGGUCAAUAGGUGUUUCCCUAGCUGCUUUGCCUCUGCCACGACACCCACGGCCUCUGGUGGUCUCAGCGGGUGGCACUAGUGUCCGUCCACCUCGUCUGGUGGUGCGAGUCCUCACCACUUGCGAGAGAAUAGAAUAAUAGAAAAUUUAUUUCUCGGAUCAACAAAGACGGACGACAAGAAUUUCAAGAAUAUGAAGCUUCUCCUAAAAGUUCUGCAUCCUCUAGAGGAUAAAUACAGACGUCUCCGUACUGAUCCACGAGACUCUACUAAACUUGCUCAAGACUCGUGAGACCUAGUAACCUACGCUCUGAUUAAAACUAUCACGACCCACUUCUUGAACUCGGUCGUGAUGGUGCCUCUUGUGAGACAAGGCCAGCCAGACCAAAACCUAACGCCUCUAAUAAGCAUUUACAUGAGAGAUAACAGUUCUAAUCAUGAUAUAAUAGCCAAAUUCGCGAAAUAUAACGAUAAAAAAAGAGGAGGAACAUCUUGACACAGCCCAAACCGAGGUGUCACGAGUCAUGAGCAACUAAUGAAUCUUGAAAUAAGUCUACUAAAUAUGAAAUCUGAUACAGAAGUCUGAAAGACAUGGAGUAAUGACAUAAGGGAGGCACGAGGCUGCGGACGCCAACAACUACCGUGUUGUCUCCUAGACACUGCCUGGACUGGGAGGAUCAACAUUCAGGAGCGAAAUCUGCAUGCCUGAAUCUGCACACACAGUGCAGGGAGUAAUGUGAGUACUCCGACCCAGUUAGUAAUAAAUAUAAAUAAUAACUAAAAACAAGAAAACACGCAAAGAUACAAAGAAAUUCUAUAUCAAGCAGAAAAACCACUUAUAAAGGUAAAUCAAACAAGAAGUCAAAUGAAAUUCCUUUAAAGCAAGUAAAACAGGUAAUUUAGUAGGUAAGUAACAAGUAGGAAUCGCCCCUCGGGCAUAGUAUCAAUCACUCAGCAGUCCUCGGACUCGCUCUCAGUGUAGUAUCAGCCCUUUGGGCACAGUAUCAGUCACUCAAAAGUAUCAGCCCCUCGGGCUCAAUAUCAAUCACUCAUAACAUGAUGUGUACCCGCGCUCACUGUGGGUGUGCAGACUCUGAAAAGCCCCCUUACGGCCCAAGUGCUACAUCAAGCCACCUCGUGGCAUCAUCACUCGGCACUCGGCCUCGUAUCACUCAAGCCACCUCGUGGCAUAUAAAUGUAUCUCAGGCCCUCGGCCUCAUAUCACUCAGCAAAUCCUCACAUGUGGCCCUCGGCCUCACUUAGUUCGAAAAAUCAUCACAAGUCCCUCGGGCAUUAGUAAAACAGUAGUUCUCAGCCCAAAAUAUCAUUUAUAAAUAUCAUUAAGUUUCAAAUCUGAGUAAAAGUGGUUGAGUUUGUAAAAGAGUAAAUAAUAACAGGACUGAAUUCAAGUAAUAAAUCAAAAUAGUGAUAAAAUGCCCGAAGGGUUCAAAUGAUUGGCACGAAGACCAAAUAAGGAAAUCAACCCAAAUCAUGAUGAUAACAAAUAAGUUUCGAUCAAAUAAAUGAUACAAAUCAUCAAUCGGAAGGGACCAAGUCACAAUCCCCAGUAGUAAACGACCCUACGCUCAUCAUCAAGCGCGUGUCUCACCUCAACAUAGCACUAUGUUGUGCAAUCCGAGGAAACCCCAGGACAUCAUUUACAAUUACUACUCACCUCGAACUGGAUACAACUUUAGCUCGGGACGCCGUUGCCCCUCAAAUUAGCAUCCAUACUCGUUGAAUCUAUCCAAAAUCACAAUGAAUAUGUCACAAUAUGCCAAGGAAAUAAUACCCAAUCGAAAAUAAUAAAAAAAUGUCAAAAAUCUCAAAAAUUGUCAAAACCUGAGCCCUAGGCCUGCUUCUCGAAAUUCAAAAUUUUUACAUCAACGGGUUCCUUAUCUUUCUACGAGUUCAUACAUACCGAAAGUUCUCGAAUCUGACCCCAGAUGGUUCUCUGAAUCCUCAAUUAGAAAUUCAAAAUUCCAAGCCCUAUUCUUCCAUUUUUAGCAAUAACUCAAUGAUUUCCUAGGUAGAUUUCACAAUAUAAUUGAGUUGUAGGUUCAUAAAUAUUACCUCUAAUCGAUUGCCCUCGAAUCCCUCUCCAAUUUCUUUCUAAAGCUCUCAAAAAUGGAAAACAAUAGAGUGAAAAUGAGCUCCAACCCGCGGAUGAAAUGUUUAUAACCCUUCUGUCCAGGCCUGAAAAUCAUUCAUCGCGUUCGUGACCUAAGCCUCAACAACGUGAAUCACAUUUAUUUUACCAAACUUAACCUUACGCGAACGCGAUACCUACACUGCGAAUGCAACUUACCUGAUACGAACGCGAUGAGUAAAUCCACUGGGUCCCUAAAUCCUUAUACGCGAACGCAAGCAGACCAAUGCGAACUCAAAGCACUAGAAAAUAACCUUCCACAAACGCGGGCCCUCAACCGCGAACGCGAAGGGUAAAACACUUGCCUUCUAAUUUUCUUAUACACAAUCGCGAGGAACCCCACACGAUCGUGAAGACUUAAAAUAUGCUGCAACUACUUCUCAUUUCAGUAAUUUCCAAAGUCUCAAAACUUCCUGUUAGCCAUCCGAAAUCACCCCCGAGGCCCCGGGACCUCAACCAAAAGCACCAACGCCUCCUUAAACAUUAUUCAAAUUUUUUUCAAUCAUCAAAGCACCUCAAACAACGCCAAAACCAUCGAAUUACAUCGAAUUAAAGCCUAUGUUCUUCUAAAACUUUCGAAACACACAUUUGAUAAAAAAACCCAACCAAAUCACCUCCGAAUGACCUGAAAUUUUGCACACACAUCCCAAAUUACAUAACGAAGCUACAACAACUCUUGGAAUUCCAUUCCAACCCGCGGAUCAAAAUUUCACCUACCAACGGAAAAUCGCCAAAAUACUAAAUUCGCCAAUUCAAGCCUAAUUCUACUCCGGACCUCCAAAAGUAAUUUCGAUCAUACUCUUAAGUCACAAAUCAUCCCCGAAGCUAACCGAACUAUCCUGAGAAUUCUGAUGCUGUCUCACAUAAACUCCUCAAUAGUUUCACCCCUCCGAGCCAUGUAACACAUAAGUCAACAUCCGGUUGGCUAUUCAAAACUAAGCCUUCUUUAAAGAGACUAAGUGUCUCAUUUCAUACCAAAUCCACUCUAAACGCAAACCAAUCAACUCGACCACAUAAAACACGGAUAACGAAGCAUAAAGAAUCAAAAUUGAGGAAAACGGAGCAACAACUCAUGAGACGACCUGCCGGAUUGUCACAAGUAUAUAUCCCAACAUAUACAUCUCGAAUUAGAGUGCACAAACCAUAUUCAAGAAUGUAUUAAUUAGUAGUUAUACUUAUCCUAUAAACUAAAGUUGCUUUAAGACUUUUGGUUGAUUUCGAUUGCUUGAAACCAUUAUUAUAUGACUUAUCAAUUUACAUACACCUUAAUUAUAUGAAAGAUUAAAAUAUUUUUAAAAAUAUAUUUUAUUAAAAUAUGAGACUAGUCAAGAUUCUUUCCGAUAAGAAGUUUAACUGUAUACUAUAUAUAUACAUGUUACUCUGUAAAGGUAUAAAAAGAAAAAAUAGAACGAAUUACUGUAAACAUUAUUUUUACUAUUUUUGGCCGAUUCAUAUACAAACAGAGGGACCCAUUUAAGAAUUUUAAUAUAUUGACUGUGGCAAAACCAAGUUAGUAUAUUCCACGUUAAUUAUUUAAAGAUAGGAUCUAAAAUGUGAUGGCUCUUUUGUUUGGCUACUUUCCUUUAACACUUUUAUAUUCUUUUAAUCCCACUAUUAUAAUUUUAUAUGUAAUCUUUCUUAUAUUGACAUUUCAAUUUUAGGGCUUCUAUUGUCCAUACUCUUUAUCCACAAAAAGGAGAUAUACUUUUUAGUAGAAAAAUAGAAAUAUAUAGGGAACGAUUUAUACCUUAACGUGAUUUCAAGCACAAACCUAAAUUAAGCGAGUGAUUUUUGUAUAUUGAACGAUUAAAUUAAAAAAAAUAUUUGAAAUUAUUAACAAUCCUUUGAUAAAGUAACAUUGAAUAGGAAAGUAAAUAGUGCUAAUAUGUUUUUAAAAAAAAUUUUCAACAUACUAAAUAUACUCAUACGGAAUAAUCAGUUGCAAUUUUAAUAGAAAAAAAAAGUGUUUUAUAUGAUCAAUCUCCAAUGUCUUGACAUGAAGGCGUUUGGAACAUUUGUAAUAAGUCAGAAAAAUGAUAAAUUCGAGAAAUUGACACUUUGCACGUGUGAUAGACUCUUGGUGCAAGGAGACAAGAAAAAACAAUAAAAAAAUACCAUCACCUGAAAUUAUAAAAAUUAUAACAACACCAUAAGCACCCGAAAAUAAAAGAAAAGCAAUAAUAAUAAUGUUUAUAUAACAGUUCAAGAGUAAGUAAUAUGAUAGUAUAUAUACCCCCUCCCCCCAAAAAAAAGUAGUACGAAGUGUUUACGAGGCUAAGACAAGACGCAUAUAUUUACCUGUGUAAUUAAACUAUAUAUGAGCAUAAUAAGAGAAAAAAGAAUUAAACACAUAUUAAUGGGAGGGGAAAAACAUGUUGAUGGGAUAGUGACGAGGCUAAGACAAGACGCAUAUAUUUACCUGUGCAAUUAAAUAAUAUAUGAGCAUAAUAAGAGAAAAAAGAAUUAAACACAUAUUAAUGGGAGGGGAAAAACAUGUUGAUGGGAUAGUGACGAGGCUAAGACAAGACGCAUAUAUUUACCUGUGCAAUUAAAUAAUAUAUGAGCAUAAUAAGAGAAAAAAGAAUUAAACACAUAUUAAUGGGAGGGGAAAAACAUGUUGAUGGGAGUACGAGAUCAUCAAAAUAGAACAGUAAAGAACACCCUUUGUGCCUUUACUUUUCCUCACAUAAAAAUAAAUACGUAAUGGCACGAUAUUAUUAUUUGUGAUUUACACUCUUUCUCACAUGAAAAUAAAUGUGCAAUGACACGACAUCGUUAUUCGUGCUUUACACUCUUUCUCACGUGAAAAUAAAUAUUCAAUGCCACGAUAUUAUCCUUCGUACUUUACAUUUAGUGGCAGCUGAAGCCCAAGGCAGGUAAGGCCAGGGCUUUAGGCCCCAUAAAUUUGAAGGCCUCACUUUUUAUUAGUUUUAGGUUUAUGUAUUUAUUUUUCUUUUAGAAAAAUAAGUACUUAAUGUAAAAAGCUAUAAUUUUGCUGGUGAAAAGGAAAAGUGACGUUUACUUCUACCAUUAUUGUAUAUUGGGGAUAUAAAUAGUUAUUUUUAGUGUUUUUGCCUUUUUGGGCGUGACUCUACUUUUUUUUUAAUAUUUAUUUAUAACUACAAAGCUGAAACUAUACUUGCCUUCUUCUUUUUGACAUUAACUUUUAUAAAGCUUUACAAUAAUUCUUACCUUUUCCUGUCAAAAGAAUUACAAGAACCUUGUGAUUAUUUUUUGUGAACAAAUACAAAAUUGGUAAGUACGAAUUUUUUUCAAUGAUAAUUUUUCUUUCUUUUCAAGUAGUUUUUUUUUUCACGUAUUGUAAUUGGAACUGAUUUUGAUAGUCAUUAGUCAAUUAAGAGAGGGUUUAAAAAAUAAAAUUUUAUAAUAUGUAUUGACUGUUUAUUACUUAAAAUUUUACAAUAUGAUAUGGCUGCAAUCUCAUAAGACUCAUAUUCACAAUGAAAUUUUUUUGCUGCUUAUUAUAAUUUAGAGUUGAGAUUUAAAUUUCGUUUAGAAAUCUACUUUGAUGGCAAGAUCCGGUUGAAGAGUAUUGUAUAUAUAAAAUUUUAUAUUUUUUCUGCUGAAGAGGAUUAAAUAUACAAAAUUGUGUAAAUUUUUUUCCAGGUUUUCAAGCACAAAAGUAUUAAAAAGUUACUUGGGGAUAAACUUAUUGAAUCAGAUUCUAUUAUUCUAACUUUUUGAUUUUUUUAAUCUAAAUUUUGUUAUUUUUUAAAUUUUUACUUCAUAGAUAUACUGUAGUUUUUGGUAUUUAGUUGAGUAAAAUAUGUCUACUAAAAAAUAUGAAUUUGGUUAUGCAAAAAUUCAAAAAAAAAAUAUUAGAACUUUAAUACAAUUCCAAAAAGAGCACUUGAUAAAUUUUUAUCAAGUAAUAAAAAUUCUAAACUAGAAAAUAUGGGAGAAUGUUCUUUGAAUGAACAAGUUAAUAAUCUAGUUGAGUUAGAUGAUAAUAAAAUUCAAAAAAAAAAAAGAAGGUAGGUAGAAAUCUGACAUAAAUUCUCAAAAAAAUCAAGAACUUUUAAAUGAAUUGAAUACUUGCACACCUAAAAACAUAUUGAUCCCAGUCAAUGGACUGAUGUAGAUACAAAGUUGAGAGGUAUAUUAUUAGAAAAAGGAUCAAUUAGAAUUACAUAAGUAGAUUUUUCCAGGAAUAAAUUCGUAAGACAUUUUUCUGCUACACAUUAUAUCCAAAAGUUCGCAAACGACGAAAUGCAUGAAAGGAGAUGGUUAAUUUAUUCCAAAGACUUGAAUAAUGUAUUUUAUUUUUGUGCAAGUUAUUCACUACAACUUCAAGUGCUUGUAGUAGUAAAUUAGCUAGUGAAGGAAUUAGAGAUUGGAAAAACCUUAGUACUAAACUCAAAGCUCAUGAAACUACAAAAUAAAAUAUUAUUAAUAUGAGUGCAUGGAUUAAUUUAGAAACGAGAUUGCACAAAAAUAAAACAAUAGAUAAAGAUGUUCAAGAACAAAUUAAUAAAGAUAGAGAGCACUGAAAAAAUGUAUUGACAAGAAUAUAUGUUGUGAUAAAAAUACUUGAAAUUUUUUUUUUGCCAUUUAGGGGGAAAAUGAAAAUAUAUAGCAAGAAAACAAUGGUAAUUUUUUAAGUUUGAUUGAAAUGAUCGCGGAAUUUGAUCCAAUCAUGUAAGAACAUGUUCGAUGAAUUAAACAUGAUGAAAUUCAUAAUCAUUACCUUGAACAUAAUAUACAAAAUAAAUUGAUAAAUUUAUUAGCAAGUAAAUUUAGAAAUUAGAUUAUUCAAAAAAUCAAAGAAACAAAGUAUUUCUCAAUUAUACUUGAUCGCACUCCAGAUAUAAGUCAUCAAGAACUAAUGUCUUUCAUAUUGCGGAGUGUUGAUAUUUCAUCAACUCCAAUAAAAAUUACUGAAAACUUAUUAGAAUUUGUAAAAGUAGAUGAUACAAGUGGAAAAGAUAUAUUUAAAGUUAUUAUGAAUGAGAUAGAAAAUAUUGGACUUAAUAUUGGUAAUUUAAGAGGACAAUGAUAUGAUAACCGAUCCAAUAUAAAGGGUAAACACCAAGGAGUGGAAAAAAGAUUUCUUGAUAUAAAUCCUCAAUUAUUCUAUACACCAUGUGAUUGUCACAAUUUAAAUUUGAUACUUUGUGAUAUAGCUAAUUCUUGUACAAAAGCUAUAUCAUUCUUUGGAGUGCUACACCGUAUAUACUCACUUUUUUCUUCUUCCACUAAGCGAUGGAAAGUUUUAAAAGAUAGUAUGCCCAACCUAACUCUUAAAUUAUUGUCACAAACACGUUGGGAAAGUCGUACUGAAAGUAUCAAAGCGAUAAGAUUUCAAACUCCACAAAUAAGAGAUGUUUUAUUAAAAUUAGCAGAAGCUAGUGAGGAUCCAAAAAGUUAAAAGUGAAGCUAAUUAUUUCACAACAUACAAGCUUUACAAUUUUGAGUUUUUAUUGGAUAUAACUAUUUGGUAUGAUAUAUUGUUUGCUAUUAAUUCAGUUAGUAAAAGUUUGCAAUAAAAAGACAUGCAAAUUGAUGUAUCCAUAGAUUAACUAAUAGGCUAUAUUUCUUAUUUUUAAAAAUAUAGAGAAGAAGGAUUCACAAGUGCUAUGAUUUCUGCUAGGGAAAUUGCAUCUGAGAUAAAUAUAGAAUCUGAAUUUCGUAAAAAAUGAAUAAUCUAUAAAAAAAUAAUUUGAUGAGAAUGUUGAUAAUGAAACCAUAAAGUCUCUUGAAGAAUCUUUUAGAGUAGAUUAAUUUUUAAAUAUUGUAAACCAAGCCAUUCUUUCGCUUCAAAAUAGAUUCGAACAGUUCGAAGCAUAUGAACGUAUUUUUGAUUUUUUGUUUAGUGGUAAAAAAUUAAAGUCAUUAGAUGAUGAGAAUUUGAAAAAAAUAUUGUCUUAACCGUGAAAUGUCUUUAAGACAUUAUAGUUACUCUGAUAUUAACGGUCUAGAAUUAUUUUCUGAAUUAAAAGUAUUGAGAGAAAUAUUACAAGUAGAAGAUAAUAUUCUACUCGACAUACUCAAUUAAAUAAAAAGACUUGAUUUUUUUUCAAAUGCAUAUAUUGCUUAUAGAAUAAUGUUAAUAGUUCCUGUAACAGUUGCUUCUGCAGAAUUUUUUUUCUCAAAAUUAAAAUUGAUAAAAUCUUAUUUAGGAUCAACUAUGUCUCAAAAGACAUUAAAUGUAUUAGCCAUUUUAUUAAUUCAAAAAGAAUUGUUAAAGGAAAUAGAUUAUAAAAAGAUUAUUAAUAAUUUUUUAACUCAAAAAGCUUGAAAAAUAGCCUUUAAAUAAAAUAUGUAUAAUUUUUUUAGAAGAACUUAAGACCUCUAAUUACAAUUUGGCUUUAGACCUCAAACUGUAUUGAGCCGCCUCUAUUUACACUCUUCCUCACCAAACAACAAAUCAAUAACAACCGGGGAAUAAGAUUAUUAAUAACAAGCCUCAUCAAUAUUUAGCUUCCCAACGUCAACCACAACUUCGAGUGAAUACUCAACAAAUAUCUAAUUCCCGUAAAACAUGAUAAGAAUAAGACUCAUUCGCAUGCUAUGACCCGACAAUAACGUACAGAUACUCAUCAUCUCACAUAUACAUCAAAAUCAAAAACCAAACACAUAGCAAAUAGACAACACUACCUAAUCCUUCAAGCUAAGGUUAGCCACAAUACUUACCUUGAUUCCACGACAAAAUUCAAGCCUCAAUCAUUGCUUUUCCUCUACUUUCCACAUCUAAAUCAUUAGUACCUAGUCAUAAUUAACCUAAUAAUAUCAAUUAUCCCUAAAGAAAUAUAUUUCAAUGCAUAAUUAUAAGUUUUCCAAUAAUUUCCCAAAAAGUCAAAAACCGACCUGGGGCUCGCUUGGUCGAAACUUGAGGUUCGGACAAAAAUUCAAUCACCCAUUCUCCCACGAGCCCGAAUGAGUAAUUAGUUUCGGAAUGUGACCCUAAAUCGAGGUCUAAAUUCUCAAAUUUGUUAAAUCCCCAAUACUUCCCAAAAUCCCUAAUUCUACCAUGAAAGACAAGAUUUAGGGUUAGAAACCUAAUGGGUAUUAAUGAAAAUAGAAGGAAAUGAGUUAAAGAACGCAAACCUAUGACUUGGUUUUGAAAUCUCUCUUCAAACAUCGCCCUAGGUCGAUUUCUAAUGAAGAAGAUGUAAAAUUUUGAACAAAUCCCAACUUUGGUUCUAUUUUAAAAUCACUGAGUAAGUCUUCAUCGCGUUCUCAACUGACCUAUCGCGAUGGUGAUGCAUAGCAUCCAAAUUGGCCUUCACGUUCGCGAUGUCUAUCUCCCCGAUGUGACGAUCCAGAAGGUCAUCACCUUUUUUUAAUUGAAUUUGUUGUCUUCGUGGCCUUGAAACCCUCAUUUACAGUUGCCUCGUUUUACGUACAUAGUCGAAAAGCUUAAAUAGAAAAUUCUAUGAAAAUUGCUAAGUUUUGAUGUUCAAAUUAAAUAAAUUUGAUUUUGGUCAAUAUUUUGGACAAACGGACCCGGACCCGUGAUUUGACGGUCCCGGAAGGUCCUUAGGAAAAUAUGGUACUUGGGCAUAUACCCGAAAUCGAAUUAUGAGGUCUCAAGCCUGAGAAAUGAGUUUUUAAAGGAAAUUUGUUUUUCUGAAAUGUUUAAGAAAUUUUGGAAAUAAAAUUUUAUUAGAAAGCAAUGGUAUAUGGCCCGUAUUUUGGUUCCUGUGCCUGCUAUAGGCUUUAUAUAUGACUUGGGUAAUUCGUGUGAGAUUUGGUUAAAAACGGACGGCGAUUGACGUGAUCCGGAUCCUAAUUGGGAAAUUUGAUGUUUUAAGGAGUUUUGAGAAUUUCAGUGAUCUUGAGGUUUAAUUCGAUGUUCAUGAUGUUAUUUUGGUGAUUUGAUUACAUGAAUAUGCUAAUUGGGAAAUUUGAUGUUUGAAGGAGUUUUGAGAAUUUCAGUGAUCUUGAGGUUUAAUUCGAUGUUCAUGAUGUUAUUUUGGUGAUUUGAUUACAUGAAUAUGUUUGUAGAAUAUUUUUUAAGUUGUGUGUAUAUUAGAGUUGGAGUUUCGAGGGCUUGGGUGAGUUUCGAGUAGGUUCCGGGAUGCCUUAGGUUUAAAAUCAGAUGUUGUAGGUUCAGGCAGUUGGAGGCCUUUGAACCCACAUAUGUGGUCCGCGAGAAAUCGCGUGCGACUGUAGAGGGGCCAACUCGGCCGCGGUCUCCCUUGUGCGCUUCGCCGUGGAGGCUGCAUGGCAGCGGUCGCCUUUAUGCGGUCCGCGGUGGAGGCUGUGCGGCCAAAGUCACCUUUGUACGGCCCGCAUAGGGUGCUGAACUGCAGGUCUUCAGAUAAGCCUGUGCGGCCACAGUCCGCAUAAGGAGUCUUCCAGAGGUAUAAAUAGACCGGAGUUUCAGUUAUUUUUCAUUUUUCAAAACCUUAAAACAUAAGAGGCAAUUUUUCAAGCAACUUUUCUUCUCCAAAUUAAUUGUAAGUCAUAUUUAACUAGUUUUCUUCAAUCACUCACAUCUUUUAACAUGAUUUCAAUUUAAAAUCAAGGAUUUUCAUGCGAAAAAUUAGGUAUUUUGGGUGAAACCUAGGUUUUUCAAAAAUUUGGGAAUUGGACCUCAAUUUGAGGUCCGAUUUCAAAACAAAUUAUAUAUAUGAGUUCAUGGGGAAAUGGGUAAUCGAGUUUUGGUUCGAACCUCGGGUUUUGACCACAUGGGCCUGGGGCCGAUUUUUGACAUUUUGGGUAAAACUUUGGAAAACUCAUUUUCAUGCAUUGGGGUUGAUUUAUUUAGCGUUUAUUGAUGUAAUUAAGUAAUUUGUGAUCAGAUACGAGCGAAUUAGCAGUGGAAUCAAGGGGUAAAGCUAUAAUUGAAGCUUGAGUCGAUGUUCGAGACAUCGAGGUAAGUGUUCGAUCUAACCUUAGCUUGAGGGAUAUUGUGAUUAUAUACGAACGAAUUGGCAGUGGAUCCAAGGGGCAAAGCUAUAAUUGGGACUUGAGUUAUGUUCAAGGCAGCGAGGUAAGUGUUUGGUCUAACCUUAGCUUGAGGGGUUAGGAGUUGAGUCAUAUUUUCUAUGUGAUAAUUUUUGAGUAUGACGUAUAGGCAUGGUGACGAGUAUCUAUACGUUGGUGUCUAGCAUAGUCGUGAGUCUUUAUAUUGUAAAUACUAUGACUUCAUUGUUUCUUUCAUGCCUUGGUGUUGAUUUCUAUAUGUUGUGAAAAGUUGGUGAAAGAAAUUGUGACCUUUGAACAUCGAGGAGCAUUGGCUCGAGUAUAUUAAAAAUUGUGAAAGUAUGUGAGAUGACUGAAAACCUUUGGAGCAUUGGCUCGAGUGGUAAAAAGAGUGGUGAAGUAAAAAGUAAAAAAAAAAAAAAAGAGAAAGAGUUUUUAAAUUGUUACCUUGCCAGAAUGUUUGUGGCUUGUUGAUUUUCUCCCUUGCAAGGAUGCUGGGUUUUAUUAGUAUUGUUCCUUUGCCGGGAUUUAACUGUUAAAUUGUGUUUCCUUGCCGAGAUUUCUAUUAUUAUUUGUUACUUCCAUUGCCCCCUUAUUUGUGAUUGUUGUUUGGCUGAGGAAGAGCGAUAAAACACGAAGGAUGAUGCCAUACAUUGUUUGUUACUGUGAGGAAAGAGUGUUAAAGCACGAAGGGUGAUGCCGUGCCGCACGAUGUACCAUUCUGUACCGAUUCUAUUGAUUAUAUGUGAGGAAAGAGAGUAAAAGUACGAAGGAUGAUGUCGUGCACAUUUCUAUUAUAUCAUUGCUUGGUGAGAAUAAGAGUAAAAGCACGAAGGGUGAUGCCGUGCACAUUUUAUUAUAUCAUUGCUUAGUGAGGAUGAGAAUAAAAGCACGAAAGGUGAUGCUGUGCACUUAUUUGAUUUAUGAUUCUGUAAUGAUGUCUGAGUUAUGUUGUUUUCUUCCUCAUUUGAUAGUUUUUUAUCUGGAGUUGUUAUCUCCCCUACAGCAUGCUCCCCCUCCCAUAUUGACUGGUUAAUUCCUAUAUUUAUUUUCCGCUCUGUGUAUAUAUAUAUAUAUAUAUAAACUGCACAUUAGUUUAUGGUAGUUUGGUCCUCGCCUCGUCACUACUUAACCGAGGUGAGGCUAGACACUUGCCAGCACAUGGGUUCGGUUGUGCUGAUACUACAAUCUAUGCUCGUUUGCUUAGAUCCAAGUGUCGGACUG